This 76100-nucleotide long non-coding RNA is filed under the name Capsicum annuum. Its description in RNAcentral is "long non-coding RNA (CANN_LNC018054)". The record is from RNAcentral. Lineage: Eukaryota; Viridiplantae; Streptophyta; Magnoliopsida; Solanales; Solanaceae.
AAAAUUUAAUCUACAUUGAUCAUUUACGUUUUAGUUGUGGUUUUGAUAUUUGUACUGUGUUUGAACUCUUUUUAAUUUUUAUAUGAAAACACGAGAAGGAUUAUUGAAUUUUAUAAUGUUGGAUAUUUUUUUUUCUUCUUAUCUAAGAUUUAAUAUUAAUAUUUGAUCAAGAUUAAAUUUUUAGUGUUAUUUUGUUUGAAAUUCUAAAAAAAAAAAUUGAAAUUUUGGGUUGAGUAAGAGUAUUAAGAUUAUUAUUUUUCUAAAACUUUCAUGUUUAAAGGUCUCAUAAUGCUCCGUGCUGGCAACAAUUUAGAAAAAUAGAUCUGUAGGAUCAUAAUGAAAACUAGCAUAAUCUGAUUAGUUUUUUUUAAUUAUAUUUUUUAUUAUUAUUUAAAUUUUAUUUAUUUAUUUAUUGUAUUUUAUUUUUAUUUCAGAGUGUAUUUAAUAAAUCUUGAUAAUUAUUUUGUCAAAUUAAUUAAUCGCGUUAAAUGAAUUUUGCUCAAAAUUUUAUUGUUAAAGUUAAAUAGCGUCUUGAAUAGAUAAAAUAGUUACGAGUUAACAAGUGACGAUCUAAAACCUUUAAUGUUAGACAAAUUUAGGCAUGUUUAAGAUCUAUCCAUCUUAAUUAAGAAUGCGGCAUACGCAUCUUUUCAAGAUAUUUAAAAAUUCAAGGAUGCAAUCAUGCACCUUGACAAAUAUUUUUCUAAGAAAUUAAUUUUCACCGAUUUAAUACAAGAGUUAUAGACAGCUAUUAGACAUUAAAAAAUAAGCUAAUUAGGCCUUAACAUAAUUUAUUCAAAAUAAUUUAAGUCAAGAUAAGUCAAUGAAAGCGACCGUGCUAGAACCACGGGACUCGAGGGGUGCCUCACACCUUCCCCUCGGUCAACAGAAUUCCUUACACGGUUUUCUGUUUUCGCAGAUUAACAAAAAGUCAUUUUCUUUUGACCAGGGAUUCAAAAAGGUGACUUGGAUCACCAUAACUCAAUUUCAAGUGGCGACUCUGUAAAUAAAUUAAUCCCUAUUCAAACCCAUCAGUUUAAUUGAAAAAAUCCUUCGACUCCAAACUUUAGGCGAAAAUGGUGUGCGACAUUAAGAUGUAUGUGCGGGCGUACUAGGAGAGAUAGAGUUAGGAACGAGGAUAUAUCAGAGAAGAUGAGAGUGGCUCCUGCGAUGAUCAAGGUGAAAGGCAAAAUUGAGAUAGUUCAGACAUAUAAAUAGAAGACAUUUAGAUGCCCAAUCCACCUAUCAAACGUUGUAUAACUUAUACAUAGUUUAAGUUAUAAAUGUAUAAUUGUCUAAAUUGCCUUCAAUUUUGAUAAAAAUGUAAUCCUAAGAAUAAAAAUAACUCUCCAUUAAAGACAAAGUACUUUUAGAAAAAAAACUUAAUACCAUUUAGAGUGUCUAAACUAAACUAUGAUAGUCAUUAGUUCGAACAUUUUUGUAUACAUGUAAUUUUUCUCCUUAGUUAUUUGUGUGACGGUAAUUUAUCAUGUUCCUCUUUAAUUAACUACACUUCUUAUCUUCAAAAUUUUACGGCAUAUUUUAAAUUUUUUUAUACUUAAUAAAAUAACAUACAAAUAAUAAUUUAUUAUUAUAUAUAUUUAUUCUUAAUUAACGUUUGAUACACGUGCAACGUACGUAAUUAUUAUUAUUAUUAUUAUUAUUAUUAUUAUUAUAAUAAUAAUAAUAAAGGAAUAUAUGUGUAGUACUGGGUACAGUGACUUAGAAUCCAAGUAAAGGAUAUGAUCAGCCAGCAAAUAAAAUACUAGUGUUUAAAUUUUAUAUAUAAUACAGUAGUAACUGAUUUUUAUACCAUCGGGUCAUUUAAAGAAUAUUUUAAAAAAAUAAAAGCAGGUAAGUUUUUUUUCAAAACGUGAAAUUUAAAAUCUUGAGAAUAAAAUAAAAUAACUGUAGUUAAGUGUUAACAUAUAAAAAUGAUAUGAUGACGUGAAAAAACUUUUUACACUGACAAUAUAUAUUAUUUAAAUUCAAUAGAAGUAAAAAAAAAAAAAAAAACACCAUCGCUGAGUGUUGUGAAAUGGUGGCAUCCCUUCAUAUAUCUUUAGUCGGAGCUGAAAUUCAAGCCCUGGAAAUGGAAUAAAUCUUAUUGGGAAUGUCGCUUUCAAAAUAAACUUGACAAUGCAUUAAUCUGAAUUAAUCAGAUUUCAAUACGAUUAACGAGCACCAAAAAUAUAUAGCAGAUAAGGAUUGACAAAAGCUGUCAUAAUUAUUUAUAAUACAAUCCAUGCGUUAGAAAGAAAUGAUCACACAUUAUACACUGCUCUAAAAUUCAAUUAAUUAUUUUAUAGGAAUAUAAUUCAGUAUAUAUCCGUUAAAACAUACUGAUGAGUGAUGAGUAUCAAAUGGCUCCAUGAGGUUAAAUUGUCAGAGAUUGUAUAAUUAUACUUAAUUUAGUUUUAAAACAUAGUAAUUAAAUUAAUCUUAUUAAGUUGCCGACAAAAAAUUGUGCUUGCAGAGUGGGGUCAUUGAAUCAUAAUUCUGUUAAUUAUACACUGAUUCGGUGACAGAUUUAAAAUUUAAAGUUUAUUGUUUUAGGACUUCAGUCUCGUCCCCUCAAUCGCCCUCUCUCUCCUUUACGUUGAGUUUUCAGUCUUUUCACUUUGUUCGAGUUGAAUUGUAUCGUUCCUCUCACCUGAUUUGGUCGAGAAAGAUGAACCCGACCACAUUUUUUCGAAUCAAAAGAAUUAAAAAUGAAAUUUCAGAAUCUAAACAACUCAGUUGAGAGCAUCGUGACUAAAAGCAUUGAUUAUCAAAGAAUGAUCAUGAUCGGAAUAACGCAAAUUGACUAUAUGAGCCUGUGAAAGAUUUUCAAGUUCAGACUAUGAUGAUAGAUAUUAUUGAACUGAAUGUAAGCUAAAGCUACUAGAUUCUGUUAAAUCCGUACCCUAACUACAUACUUCAACGAGCUCCUGUUUUACCUUAUCAAUAUAUAAAACACAAAUUUGUAAAUGGUUGGAUGGUAAAAGAAAUAGAAACAUAAAAAAAAAAACAUGAAAUUAGCUAUGAAAUUUAUCGGUAAUCUCAGCUAAUCCAUCGCUUGUUCUUAUAAUUUGUCAUUAAUCCGUAUCUAAAUAAUAUUAACAUGAAUUUUCGAUGUUCCGAUAUAUAUGAAAUAUUAUCCGUAACUAAUUCCUCAUUUUCUAGUAGCGUAAAUAUACUAUUGGUCAUUCCAUCAUUUUCCAAAGAAAAGGAAAAAAUAACUGGACUUUAAUUUAUAAAGCAUCCCAACUAAUUAAUCCAUGAAAGAUUCAAGGGAAAUUAAAGUUACCAAUAAAGUAUUAGCAGCUGUUACACUAAUAAUAAUUAAUCCUAAUUAAGGAUGAUGAAAAGGGCCUACAUCUUCAUUACACUCACGUUCUAAAAUCCCUCAAGGGAACAAAUUAAAGGUCACAAAAGGUGACAAAAAAUUAUUAAAUCAGUAAACAAUAAGAAAAAGAAAAAGUUUAACAGCAAAAUAAGAGAAAAAAAUUUGGCAUGGACCUAUUUCUCAUCAUACUAGAAGCUGGGGUUAUUCUUAAUGGAGAAACCCUACAAUUUUUUUAAUUUAUCUAUUCUGUGAUCUUAAAUAUGUCAUAUAAUAAAAUUUAUGUACAAUAUAUGCUCAAUCGAUGUAUAAUAUGUGCAUAUAAUCCAUGUAUACAGAUUAGGAAAGUAUAUGUACGUUGAAUUGACCCAUUAUUUGGGUAAAGAUCCCUUUCAGUUAUCAAUUUAUACUUUGUUCAUUCACCCAAUAAUAUAUACUGAUAGUUUAAUAAUUUUUUCAUGCAUUCGCUUAAAUUUAAUUUGAUUAACAAGUUACUAAUUUAUAUUAAUAAAUAUAAUAAGUUUAUAACAUUAUUUUUAAGUGAGCUGGUUGUAAAUUUCUCACCAUUAGUAUCUAGAACUUAAAUUCAACUAUAACAACAACACUACAUGGGUUGGGUUGUGGUGUAGUUGUGGGACUGCUCCAUCCUUAAUUAGAGGUCUUGGAUUCGAGCCUUGGGUAUGAAGAAAAUUUUGUUGGGAGCGCUACCCUCAGAACAGGGCUUCGGUGUGGGGACUACCCCAAGAAUGGGCCCUGCAACACGCAAUCUAAAUUAGCCGGGACUCCAUUGUGGACACUGAACACCGAAUAAAAAAAAAAAAAAACUAUAACAACGAUAAUAUAUCUGAUGUACUCACCAAAAUAUGUCUGAAGAAGAAGAUAGUAUAUACAUAAAUCUUAUUCCUAUCUAGUUAAACUCAACUAUAACAUUCUUUUUAAAAGUAAGCUAAAAAGAAAAGUGAUCAUGAUGAAUUCUUUUCAUUAUCAUUUCUUCUUCCAACUACCUCAUGAUUAUUGUCACAUUCCUUUUUCUUCCCUCUUAUAAAUAUCACCCUUAUAACUAUUUUUCACCACAUUGAUCAUCACAUAAAAAUUAAAAGAUGGUUAGAACUAGAAUGCCAAAUUUUUGCCUAAAUAGAAUUAGGCCUCAUGUUCAUCAAAUUCGUUCACCACCUAUAAUACAAGCCACCAAAAACAAUAUUAUUAAUGAAGAAAAAAAUAAUCCUUCAUUAGCCAUGCCGGCGCCGAUGGGAGAAGUUUCUGGUGACGUGGCAAAACCGACACCGUUGAUUGGUCGAAAAAUCAUGAUUUUAGUUGAUUCAAGUGUUGAAGCUAAAAAUGCAUUGCAAUGGGCAUUAACUCAUACCGUUCAAAGCCAUGAUGUGCUUGUUCUUCUUUAUGUUACUAAACCUAAUUCUUCUAAACAAGGUUUUACUCUUUUGCCUUCUUUAUUUUCUUGUUUUUAUUCGAGCUAACGGUGAAAAACAUAUCUGAACUAUCGUCUUUUUGCAUAGUUUGGGUAGGAAAGAGGAAGAACAGAUAGUUGAAGUAUAUUUUAAUACAUAGAUAUUGAUAGUUCAGCUGAUUCGGAUAGAAAAAAAAAAUAACUAAUAAUUGGAAUAUGUGAAGCUCACGAAAAAGUCAUAGUCAAGUGUGUGUUUGACCAUUAUAUCUCUUUGUAUUUCAUUUCAUUUAUCUUGUGUUUUCAGUUUAAGUUAUAUAUAUCGUCGGUACAAAAAACUUUUCAUAACACUUCGUAUUUUAGCAUGUAAUUUGUAACGUCUUAGAAGAUAUUCUUUGAAUAAUCUAAUAGUAUAAAUAUUUUUUUACAACAUUUUUUGUUUUGUAUGAGAGCUAUAGCUAGUAAUGGAGGUUCUAUAAAGGGAAAUUUUUGUACUCAAUUUGUUGUUUUAUAUUUUUUUCUUUAUUUUUUUUUUCAGAUGAGGAUCCUAAGAAGGAAAUUAAUCCAAGAAUUUUUGAAUUUCUUGCUUCUAUGAAGAAUACUUGCAAGCUGAAAAGACCUGAGGUGUGUUAUACCUCAUCAAUUUGCCAUUUUAAAUAAUUAGAAAUUAUGCUUUUAUCAGAUAAAUAUUCUGAAACAUCAAAUAAAAUUACAUUAAUAAUAUGUAUAUAUUUUUUACUAUAUCGAUAUAUGUAAGUUAAAUCUUCCGUGACGACAGGUCCAAGUGGAAGUAACAGUCGCACAAGGCAAAGAAAAAGGUCCAAUAAUAGUAAACGAGGCGAAGAAACAUGACGUGGCACUUCUAAUAUUAGGUCAGAAGAAAAGAUCGAUGACGUGGCGGCUGAUAAUGAUGUGGGCCAGCAAUCGGGUGGUUGGCGGUGGUGGCAGUGGCGGUAACGGUGGUGGAGGGGUGGUGGAAUAUUGUAUUCAGAAUGCUAGUUGUAUGGCAAUUGCAGUAAGGAGAAAAAGCAAGAAACUUGGUGGAUACUUAAUUACUACCAAAAGACAAAAGGAUUUUUGGCUUUUGGCUUAAUUAAUUUGGUUAUAAAUAUUUGAUUAAAUUGAAGAUUUAUCUUAGUUCAUUAUGUGUUUUCUCUUGUAAAUUACUAGUAAUUAUAGUAAGUUAUAUGGAUUGGAAAGUUAAAUGGAAAAGUUAGUGAGUCAAAAGAUAAUUGAGCAAUGUGUCAUUGUGUCUUGUCUAACUUUUAUGAUCUUUUUCUUUUUAUGUUGAAGCUCUACAUUUUACACAUGCCAAAAAAGAGUUUCGUGUGGGGGUGCAGGUGGGGGUUGAUAAGUAUUCUAUAUGUUUGAAUAGAAGUAGUAGAAAGAAUUUGUUGGAGUCCAUUAGGUUAAAGGGUCCUUGGUUUCCUUAUAUGAUUUUGAACAAUGCUCCUUUAUUAGCUAACUUUUGAGCUUGAGUUAGGCCCAAGAUCCAUUCUUCACCCAAUUCAUUCGCUUUUGAUGUUGGGCCCCCAAUCUCAUACUGUCUACGCUUUAGAUGUCCAGUUCUGGGCGUGUGGGUGUUUGAAGGGGAGGAGGGUUAUUAGAAUCUCACAUCGAUGGGUUAAAGGGUCUUUGGUCUUCUUAUAUGGUCUUGAGCAAUCUCCCCCUUAUGAGCUAGCUUUUAAGGUUGGAUUAGACCCAAAAUUCAUUUUUCACAGAAUUUUAAUUGAAAAUAAAUUUCCUACUAUAAAAUUUGAAUUAGUCAAGCUCACUAAAUACUAAAACAUGACGAGUUGCUCUUACGUCUUGAUUGAUAAAGUUCGAAAUAUCACUCAUUUUGAACAAGGUUGAAAGCCUGAAAUGAUUGUCGGUGAUUUUUCACUUUUAAAUCUUAGUCGAUAAAGUUAUCUGGAAGAUGACACAUGUGUAGCAAUGAUUGGUAAAAAUUAGGUGAUACAUAAUUCGUGAUAAAUAGCAAGGACUAUUUCUUAUGUCUAUUAAUCCGGUGUUCGAUAUCCGUCUUGGAGCCCAACUAAUUCGGAUUCGCGCCCGGUAGGGCCCCAUUCGGGGGUAGCGCUCCCAACAGAGUUUUCUCCAUGCCCAGAGUCGAAUCCUCGACCUCUGAUUAAAGGUAGAGCAGCCCCAUCCGCUGUACCACAACUCAUCCAAUCAUUGUCAUAUUGUGCGAAAGCACGUAGUAUUAAACAAUCAAGUCGAGUUCAAUUCAAUUUUCGCUCAAUUGUACUGUAAGAACGUAUGAUCACAUUUGCGAUUGUUUGACCCAAUAUUGUAAAAGCCAAGUUGAAUUUCGACUCAAAUUCUUAAAACUAUUUUAUCUUAAGCUUAGCUUAAAGACUACUCUAUCCUAAAUUUAUGCACAACAAAAUAAAAAAAAGAAAAAAUAUAUAUUCAUGAGGAAAGAACAGUAAGGGCCCAAAUGAAAGCACAUGACAUUUGAGCUUUUUGAAGAAAUUAAAUAAUAACCCUAAAGUGAAGUGGAGUCAUGUAGGACAUAUUAACUUAAAGGGAACUUGAUUAUUCUUCUUUAGAUUUACUUUUAUCAAUUUGGAAUCCCUUGUAAAUUACUCCACCUUUUUACUAACUAACAUAUAAUAACAUUAGAUUUACCUUAACUACCACCAUUCUUACCCCUCACAAGUUAAAUUGUCAAAGUUUCUGUUUAUGAUCACACCCUUUUUGAACUCACGUAUGUGUGUAAAAGAAAAAGUGAAAUGAAAUAGCAGAAAAUCUAGUUAAGGGUUUUUAAAAAUAAUAAUUUAAUAUCGAUAAAUUAAUAAUAUUUUUUAUGUGAUUUAUUUAUUAAACAAGUUUUUACAUAUUCUAGGUAGAAUCAUUUAUAUAUAUCAAUUUUAUAUUUCUAUCCUACUAUUUGUACUCCUUCAACUUUAUUUUACUUGAUACAUAUUAACUUGAUACUAAUAUUUUAUGUAGUCAUUUAAUGAUAAAGAUAGUAUUAAAAGAAAAUGAUAAUUUUAUCUUGAUUUUAUAAACUGGACAAGUAAAUUGAAACAACUAUAAAAUAAAUUUUUUCUUGUAUUAGAUAUAUAAUUUAAAAUUUAAAUAUAGAUAAUAGAGUUUUAUAUUUUUCUUUAUCUUCCGAAAAAACAUAUUUUUUUAAGAGGGUCAAGUAAAACGAAAUGAGGUAAGUAUAUAUUUUGUUAAGAAACAAUUUAUAUACUAGUUUUGAAAUUUUUAAUGAUUUUGUUAAAGCGUGAUUUUUUUAACUGCUCUCUAAAAGUUUUCACCGCUUUUACUCUUUUUGUGACUCGAAUUCUCAAUCUUCGAGUUGAAAGUUAAAGUAUAUAAUUGGAGCUCUAGUUUUGUAUCUCUCUUAUGCUAAAUGUCGAGGCCCGUGAUAUAUGUUGUCGUUUGUUUCAAUUUAUGUGACACAAAUAGAAUUUAGAUAAUCAUAUUUUUAAUAUAUUUUUAGAUAUUUAAGUUGUCAACUAUUAUAAUUUAUAAUAAUUUUUAUGUAAUUUUCAAAUAAUAUAUGUUACUCUCCUGAGAAAAUUGAAGGAAAGAUGUCUUUUAAGUCUUGAAUGAAGGAUUAGUGACAUUGACCAACUUAAAGGGUCAAACAUCAUUAGGAAACAUGAUGAAGUUAAUUGUGGACUUGAUUAAUAUUUUCAAAACUUUCUAAUCUUUUCAAAAAUACAAAUCCACCCAACCCACACCCCACUUCAAUCCAAAUCAACCACUCUCUCUUUUCUCUCAACAGCUUCUCUCAACUCCCUCCCAACCAACAGUUCUGCAAAAUUUCUCCCUUCAACCGCCGGCGACUUCUACCUCCGGCGACAAAUAGUUGGGCUUCGAGUUCCUCUCUUUUCUCCCUUCAACCCCCGGUGACUUCUACCUCCGGCGAUAAAUAGUUGGGCUUCGAGUUCCCCUCUUCAAUUCAAAUCAACCUAUCUCUCAUCCCUCUCUCGACAACUUAUCUCAACUCUCUCCCAACCAACUGUUCUACAAAUUUCUCAUUUCAAUCCUCGACGACUUCAAUAUUCGAUUACAAAUAGUUGGGCUUCGAGUUCCCCUCUUCAAUUCAAAUCAACCUAUCUCUCAUCCUCUCUCGACAACUUAUCUCAACUCUCUCCCAACCAACUGUUCUACAAAUUUCUCAUUUCAAUCCUCGGCGACUUCAAUAUUCGAUUACAAAUAGUUGGGUUUCGAGUUUCUUUUCGACUUCAACCUUCAAUUGACGUGACAGCCUUACUCUUCGGCCACAACAGCUUCAAAUUCUUCGUCGUUCCUUUUCUUCUUUCAUUGGUAAAAAAUUAUGGUCUUUUUAGUUUUGAAGAAAAUGAGGAACUUAAGCGAACUUCUCUUAUAGUAUUGGUUAACAAUUUCAAUAUUUGUUGCAUUAAUUUAAAAUGAGGUCUGAAUAAAACCCUAAUUUCUGGUAUUUCUUCUCUUCUCUUUUCGAAGUGAAUUAUGAUAUUUUGUUGUUUGUUGCAUUUUUUAAGUUUGAUUUUUAUUGUUUGUGUUUAUAAAAACAAAACAACAAUUUGGGUUAAUUUGUUCUGUUUUUAUUCUUGGUAAAAAUGGCGAAAUUGCUUUUUUUUUUGUUGAACAAAAUCGUGAUACUAUUUUUUGUUUCCCCCAACAGAUUACCCAUCUGGUGCAACAUAUUAACCAUCUGAUGCAACAGAUUUAUCAUAUGAUGCAACAUAUCAACCAUCUGAUGCACCAGAGGAACCAUCAUAUUAUAAUCUGAUGCAACAGAUAAAUCAUAUGAUGCAAUAAAUUAACUAUCUGAUGCAAUAGAUUAACCACGUGUUGCAACAGAUUAAGCAUCGAACAAAAAUUCGAUGCAAUAGAAGAACCAUCUGAUUAAUGAUCCGAUGCAACAGAUGAACCUCCUGUUGGAUAAAAUUCUAUCAACUCUUCCAACAGGAAAUGUCCAAGACUUGAUUUUUCCAACUGAUCAUUCAUAUGCCGCGAUAAAUGACCCUAUGUUGGAAGAAAUCUAAACAAUAUUGACCGUUGAUAACUGUUCCAACAGAUCACUCAUGUGUUGCAACAGAUGUGUGACCUGUUGCACAGACCAUUCAUCUUUCUCAAUAGAUGAGUGAUAUAUUUUAUAUUGUCGUAACAGAUUACUCAGUCGUUGCUACAGCUUAGUUAACUGCUCUGACAGAUUACUCAUAUGUUGCAACAGAUGUGUGAUCUGUUGCACAAACCAUUCAUCUUUCUCAACAGAUGAGUAAUAUAUUUUGUAUUAUCACAACAAAUUACUCAGCCAUUGCUACAGGUUAUUUAACUGUUCCAACAUAUCUCUUAUAUGUUACAAUAAAUAAUGUCACAAUAGAUGUGUGAUUUGUUGCACAGACCAUUCAUCUUUCUCAACAGAUGAGUGAUAUGUUUUGUAUUAUCACAACAGAUUACUCAGCCAUUGCUAUAGGUUAUUUAGCUGUUCUAAUAGAUCACUCACAUGUUGCAAUAGAUGAUAUUGCAACAGAUGUGUGAUUUGCUGUACAGACCAUUCAUUUUUCUCAACAGAUGAGUGAUUUAUUUUGUAUUGUCACAACAGAUUACUCAGCCAUUGCUAUAGGUUAUUUAGCUGUUCUAAUAGAUCACUCACAUGUUGCAAUAGAUGAUAUUGCAACAGAUGUGUGAUUUGCUGUACAGACCAUUCAUUUAUCUUAAAAGAUGAGUGAUAUAUUCUGUUAUCCUUUUUCAGAUUACUCAUCCGCUGCAACAGGUUGGUAUAUGCUGCAAUAAAUAUACUACCUGGUGCACUGAUCUGUUGCAACUGUUAUUUUACUGUUUUGCUUGUUUGAUUUACUGUUAUCCUUUUUUAAUCAUGCAUUAAUCAACUAUAAUAUAUUUUUUUAUGUUCCUGUUAAUUUUAGAUAAUAUGAUUCUUAAAAGAACAGAAACCGAAUCAAGUCCAAGUAAAGAAACAAGUAAAGCAGCUAGGCUACAUCCACCACUCUAUGAGCUUGCUUUACAAGCGUUAUCUCAAUAAGGAGUAGAAUAUGAUGAAGACGGAGAGAAGAAAUAUUUCAAAAGAGAUGAUGCAAAUGCUAAUAGCCCUUCCACCGAAGAGUUGGUCAAAUUCUUCAGCAUUGAUCGUUAUCCUGUGAGAAUACAGUGCGAUGGUGCCGCUGAUUUAAUGGAUGAUUUCAUGGUUAAGUCAGCCAUGAAAAAAUCUUUCGACGCGUUCAAAAAAAUUCUUCGAGAACAAAAAUUGGAUGCUUAUUUCAGGGACAACUGCUUUGAAAAAUAUCUUGAUUUGCCGGAGGACAACAAUGCUCGUUUACAAAUGAAAAUAGUAUGUGAACUUCUCAAGCGUAGGUUUAUGUAUGAAAACAAAGAUAAAAUGGAUGAGGUGUGAAUAAAUUACUGUGGCAUGCCUGUUUGUUUUGGUUGGAAGGAGUUUGUCAUAGUUACUGAACUAAAAUGUUAUCCUCUUUCUCAAGUUAUACCUAUUCUAACCUAAAAAAAAUACCCUGCACACCCCAAAAAGGCAAAGGCAAGUCGUGUGAUUGUGAUGACCUGGUGUCCAUUAUUGGUCCAAGCUUCAAAAAUAAAAAUUUGAUAGAAGCGUUGAAAGGUAAAGGACUUUCAAAGAAGCACAAGCAGUAAUUGUGCUUGAUUUGGUAAGUACAUAAUAUUCUUUAGGCGAGAGACGUUAACAACAACAUAUGCCUCGAUUUAAUAAAGCUCUCUGAGGAUAUUGAGGCAUUUAACAGCUAUUCUUGCGGUUAUAAAAGCUUCAAAAUGACUGCCAAAUAUUUGUUGACUCUGUUAGCGCCAAAGACAGUCAACUUAUAUGGCUUCCCAUGGGCUUUCAUGGUAAAUGUUUGUUUCUUAUAUUAUGAUAUCAUUCAUUUUUUACUCAAUUAUGGUUUUGAUUGAUUGGUGUUAUUUUAUAGGCUUGGGCGUUUGAAGCCAUUCCUUAUUUGAGACAACAAGUGAACUACCGGAAAGAAGUUUUCUGUCCAAGAAUCUUGAGAUGGUUGUCGUCCAAAAUUGAUAAAAAUAUAAAAUUUCUUGAUCUCUUUAACCCCCGAAGGAUGCAGUAAGUAUAAUUAUAAUUAAUUUUUAUUUUAAUUAAUGAUUUUUUUGAAUGAUCUAAUCAUCAUUCUAUAUAUGUAAUGACUUAUGUUAGAUUGUGCAUCCAUCACUAGUUCCGACCAAUUGAGAGUUGAGGAUGUCAUUUUUCUUACUUUACGGUCUGUGCAAACUUUAUCGGACCCUAAGGUCAUCGACAGAACAAAAAUGGAAUUGUUUGAAGCAACAACCAUUACAAGAAAAAUAAUUUUGAAGGGUGGGCUUGUUGUUGUUAAUGGUCUUAGUGGUGAUGGAGUUGUUAGUGGUGGUAAUGAUGCUGCUGUUGGUACUAAUGAUGCUCCUAUUACAGUAUUUAAAGCAAAUCAUUAUGAGUAUGAUCAUACUGAUUAUACAGAUUUUGCCUCCCCCAACGAAUGUUUUGCAUGCAAAUGUCAAGACUGUAGGGUGAAACAUGAUGUAGUGAUUGUUGACACCCAAUUUUUGCUCUUUGUGCCUAAAAUUAACGUCCUCAGGCUUUUUGUUCGUUAAAGGGCACGAAGCAUAAUUUUCACAUCUUUUUACAAUUGUUUGAUAAAUUAUUGAUAAUUAUCCUUUCUUUAGGAUUUUNNNNNNNNNNNNNNNNNNNNNNNNNNNNNNNNNNNNNNNNNNNNNNNNNNNNNNNNNNNNNNNNNNNNNNNNNNNNNNNNNNNNNNNNNNNNNNNAUUUUUUAUAUUUUUUCAUUCAACAUCUAUAUUUUACAGUCCGCAAAUGCUGAGUCGGAUCAAUUAAUUAUGCUUUGAAAAUAUAAAUUAACCUUAUUAAUUAUGCUUUGAAAAUAUAAAUUUGAAUAAAUACAUUUUGUUUAGUCAUUUAAUAUUAAGGGUAGUACAUCUAGAAGUUAGAAUUAUUUCAUCUCUCAUUCAGACCUAAAUUUAUUUUAUUCGUCUCUCAUCUUUUUCUUUCUAUCCUCUUUAGGGUUAUCACAACUUUUUUCUUCUCUCCUCUUUAUCAUAAUUUUUCUUUCGGAUCUAAACCGAUCCAUAUCUUAGAUUUCUCAACUGAAAUUGUUGUUUUGAUCCCCUUUUGACACUAAGGUAUGAUUCACUAUUGCUCUUUCAUUCUCGUCUUCUUCUUUGCAAGUCAUUUAUAUGUUUUUUUAUUUAAUUAGCAUUUACCCAUAUCAUAUUUAUUUAAAAAAUUUGAAGGAACUUUUAAUUGUUGAAUAAACGAAUCGAGAAUUUUUAUUACAAGAUGCAAAAAAAAGUCGUCUGAUGGGAGAAGUUUAAAAAUUUUGUUGGCAGUAUCAUUUUUUAUGUAUUUUAUUAGUUUCUUUGUUGUUGAUAUUGUUAUUGAUGUUGUUGGUGGGGUUGGCGUUGUUGAAACUUGUGGUGUGAUGUUGUUGACAGUGGCGGAUGCAGGUUUUUUAGACGAUGGGUGCUUCUUAGCUUAAAAAUAGUGGAGUCCGAAUAAUCAACACAAGGAGUAAGAGAAAAAAAUAAAAGAAAGUUUAAAGUGAACAAGGAGAGAGGAGUUGGAUACCAAAAUUUAAAAAAUAUGUGCUGAGUGGGAAUUGAACUCAAGACCAAAGGAAAUAAAUAGCCUUAAGCACCCAUAAACAACCACUAGGCUAACCAAACUACACUUUAUACGGGUGCUCACUGAUUAGAUUAUAUACGUUUUUUUAUUAAUUUUCAUAUACAUAUAUAAAGUUUGAGAUGAGUUCAGUGUGUGCUCGCGCACCCGGAGGACUCCAUGUGGGUCCGCCCCUGGUUGCUGAAGGUGUUGAAAUAUAGGAUGUAUGCUUCUUUGUUGUUGAUGAUAUUGUUAGCACAAAUGUUGUUGUUUUCUUUAUUGUUGAUGUUUUUUAUUUGUUCUUUGUAGUUUAUGUUGUUGUUGAUGUUGCAACAGACGGAGCAACUGUUCGAACAAAUCAAAUCACCAGCAAGGCUGGUUAGAUGUAUUCCAAUAGACUCCAUAUCUAUUGCAUCAGAAUCCACAUCUGACGCAACAGACUCCACUUCUGAUGCAACAGACUCUACAUCUAUUGCAACAGAUGGAUAAUGUUCUUUCUGUGACAUUAAUUUUUUCCUUCUUCUUUGUAGAUAUAUAAGGAACUAAAAGUUGAUCAACUUUUGCCUGACUAUCACAAGAGGCUGCAGUAAAGAUAGGUUCGGAGGAAUAAGCUGCAUGUAGAUGGAACCACUUCAUAUGUGGGAGAUAUGUAUUACUGAUAAUGUUAUAGUAGAAACACACAUAGAGUAUACUGAUUUUGUGAAUGUUGUUUUUACCGAUUAGUCAUAGACUAUUCAAAUAAGAUAUCUACAAUUUUACAGGUAAGUUUAGUAGGUCUGUACUGAUAAGACAGAGGGACCAUGAAUAUGGUUCUGAUACCCUGUUAAGAUUUAAUGUCGGAUGUUGCUCAUGUUUAUUUGUCAUUUCUUCUACAGACUUUCGUUGUGGCAAGCAUUUCUGGUGAUGGUGUAGACUUUUGCAUGACGGAUAUGUUGUCCUCUAUACAGGAGAAAAAUGAUCAAUCUUACCCCUCCUUACUUAUCUUGUGCAUGCAAAUGUGAAAAGUGCAAGGCAAAACAUAAUGGAGUGAUUAAUAUUGUUAAUGCAUUAACUGCUGAUGUAAGGGAAUUGAUAUCUAACAGCAGUGUCAUUCGAUCAAAGAGGUUUUCAGUUUCAUUUACUCCAUUAGAGAUUAAGGCUAAGAGGAGAAAGAAAGCAAUUUCCAAGGCAUUAUCAAGUAUCCAAAAAAAGAAAAAUUUCGGAUCUGAAAAAGGUGAGAAGAUAAAAAUAGGAAGGAAUGGGAAGGAAAAACUGAAUGCUAGAUUUAGUUCAUCUUGUAUCGUUAUGUAGAGAUACUCCAUCUAAUUUUGAGUGUUUUUUCUUUUCAGGAUGGUGAGGAAGGAAGAAUCUCCCCAUCAUUAGCUAAUAUUGGAAACAAGACAUCUGAGUUAUUGAACCACCAGACUGCCCUGUGAAGUUUGAUAAUCCAUAAGAUGUCUUUGCUUAAGUCAAUCAACAGAUUAAACGAUCUCAAUCACUUGGUUUUUCUGUUGAUCAGUCUUCUCCCGUAGAAGACAAGAUAUCAACAAAACUGCUUGACACAGCGAAAGCUGAUAUCGAGAUAUCACUGAUUAUGUCUUCUCAAGACUUUCUUCUACCAGAAAACUAUUCUGCAUUAAGUGCUACACUAUCCAUAUAUACUGCAGCACCAGAUUUAUCAGCUGAGAGAGCGUUUGCCUUAGAAAAACUAAAAGAGAACCUUCCAUACUUCUCCUUGACCUUGCGUAGAGCUAAGAAGGACCAAGAGGAGUAUUAUAAAAAAGCUGCCAAGAAAGAAAGUGGUCCUCGUUGACAAACUCACAAACCAUCAAGAGCUCUAUACUGAGCUCAACGACCACAAUGACAAAAUGAAUUGGAAGUGGUGAUUUGACUUAGUCAAACAAAAAGCCACGACUGUUCAUAUCCCUUAAUUAAAUAAAACUGGUGACUUUUCAAAUAUGUAAAUUUAAAAAAUGGAUCUAAAUACAACAUUUUAUCUUUUUAUUGUAUUUUGAAAAGAGACAGAUUGGUAAUCUAUUGUAAAAUAUAUUCCACCUGUCAAAUAACUUACAACAUAUUGACAAUCUGUUGCAACAGAUGAAUAUAUCAAUUUGCUUUUCCAUCAGUUGUGGCGUCUGUUGCAAUUUGUUAGUCAUCUGUUUAUUCAAUUUCUCGAGAAUAAUUGAUUUUUCUAAACACUUCUUGGCCAAACUCAAUUUUUGCUCUUGGAUUGCUUCUCUUUUUUUCUUUGUAUCCUUCAAGCUGGCCUCCAAAUUCAAUUUUUGCCAUCAAUCCAAGAGCAAAAAUUGAAUUUGGAGGUCAGCUUGAAGAAUGCAAAGAAAAAAAGAGAAGCGAAGAAAUGUUUAGAAAAAUCUAUUACUCUCAAUGAAAUUGAAUAAACAGAUGACUAGCAAGUACAACAGAUGCCACAACUGAUGGAAAAGCAAACUGAUAUAUCCAUCUUUUGCAACAGAUUGUCAAUAUGUUGUAAGUUAUCUAAUAGGUGGAAUAUAUUUUGCAACAGAUUACCAAUCUGUCUCUUUCCGAAAUACAAAAUAAAAUAAAAUAUUGUAUUUAGAUCCAUUUUUUUCAAUUUACAUAUUCGAAAAGUCUCCAGUUUUAUUUAAUUAAGGGAUAUGAACAGUCGUGGCUUUUUAUUUGACUAAGUCAAGUCCCUUCCAAUUCAAUCAUUUUAUAAAUAGGUUCCUUCGAUCUCCUCUCACUCGUUCAUUUUAUUACACUUACAAUACUAAUAUGGCUUCUCCAGAUUCGUACAAGAAGAUUCAUAUCGAGUCCUUUCAAGAACUUCAAAGGCAGUUUGAUGAACUCCAGAGGGAUUUGGCCUACUUCGGAGCAAGACUGAGGAGGGCCCUGCUGCUGUCGGAUGAAAAUUGUCCGGUUGACAAAAAUAAUAGUAAUAAUAAUAAUAGUAGUAAUAAUAAUUAGGUUAUGUCUUUUUUUUCUUUUAGCGUAUGUAUUUUUCUUUUUUAUAUCCGAUCUACCUAUAAGGGAUUCAAAAAAAUCUAUGUAUAUGUUUGGUUUGGUUUGGUCGACUUUGAAUUUUUAAUUCUUAUUCAAUAUUUAGUUAUCAUUUUAUUUAUUCCCUAUUCUCAACAUGUCGAUGGUUGGAGGUAAUUGAAAACCAGUUGUAUUCGAUUUUUAAAUUGAGAAAAAGGAUAUUUAAAUUUAAUAAGCUGAAAAGUCAUGACUUAUCACAAUAAUAAAAAACUCACCAGCUUGAUUUAAUUAAGUCAUUUCUUUUCACAGAAAAAAAUAAGGAAAUAAAUGAUAAACACAAUUUAAACCGUAAAAAACUCACCAAAAAUAUUCUUGUUUUUAAAUCUGCUUUAUUAAUUUAUAUAAUUAAAAAAUCAGAAAAGUUGGAUGUCAUGAAGAAUUUUUUUUUUAAAUAUAUAUAUUAUAUGUUGUAACAGAUAUAUUAUCUGAUGCAACAGGUUAUCUAUUUGUUGCAAUAGAUGAUAUAUCUAUUGUAACAGAUGAGUUAUUUGAUGCAACAAAUAUAUAAUUUGUUGUCCAACUCAAUGUAAAAACGGUUCCUGGAAAGAACUAAUUAUUUUAAUAAUAAUAAAGCUGAAAGAUCAUGACUUAUCACAAUAUUGCUUAAUUUAAUUAAGUCAUAACUUUUUACAGUAAUCAAUUUGGAUGUCAUGAAGAUAAUUUUUUUAAAAAAAAGAUAUAUAGAUUAUAUCUGCCACAGAUAUAUUAUCUGAUGGAACCGAUUAUCCAUUUGUUGCAACGGAUGAUAUAUCUGUUAUCACAGAUGAGUUAUCUGAUGCAACAGAUAUAUAAUCUGUUGUCCAACUCAGUGUAAAAAAAUGAUUCUUGGAAAGAACUAAUUAUUUUAAUAAUAAUAAAGCUGAAAAAUCAUGACUUAUUGCAAUAUUGCUUAAUUUAAUUAAGUAAUAACUUUUUACAGUAAUCAAGAAUGUCAUUAAUAAAUUGAGGUGAACAAUUGUGCCUUUAAAUCUGUUUUAUUAAUUUAUAUAAUUAAAAAAUUAUGUCAUAAUUUAUCACACUAUUGCUUAAUUUAAUCAUAAUUUAUCACAAUAUUGCUUAAUUUAAUUAAGUCAUAACUUUUUACAGUAAUCAGGAGUGUCAUUAAUAAAUUAAGGUGAACAGUUGCGCCUUCAAAUAUGCUUUAUUAAUUUAUAUAAUUAAAAAGUCAGAAAAUUUGGAUGUUAUGAAAAUAACUUUUUUAAAAAAGAUAUAUAGAUUAUAUGUUGAAACAGAUAUAUUAUCUGAUGCAACAGGUUAUCUAUUUAUUGCAACGACUUAAUAUUUGUUGUCACAGAUGAGUUAUCUGAUGCAACAGAUAUAUAAUCUGUUGUCUAACUCAGUGUAAAAAAAAUGGUUCCCGAAAAGAACUAAUUAUUAAUAAUAAUAAAGCUGAAGAGUCAUGACUUAUCAUAAUAUUGCUUAAUUUAAUUAAGUCAUAACUUUUUACAGUAAUAAAAAAUGUGAUUAAUAAAUGGAGGUGUACAGUUGCGAUUUUUUUUAACUUAUUCAAGUUCAAUCCUCUAUAAAUAGGUCUCUCCUUAUUCAAUCGUCCGUUCUACUACACACUGUUUAUUCCUCGCUCUUUUCACACCUUCAACUACUUUCUCUUCAAGAACUUGAUAGCUUUUUCCUGUCUCUGGUAAGUUUUUUUCUUGAUUUUUUUUGUAAAUAUACGUUGUAUUACAUUACAUUCGAAUUUUUUCUUUUCUUUACUUUUGUUUUUACGUGUGUGUUUUGUUAACUUAUGCAUUUUCUAGAUAUGACUGAUCCUGUGUGAGAUGUCGCUAUUUUACGAGACGCCAUGCGGAAACGGCAGAAGGAGGUUCAUGACCUGCAUUGGGAGUUGACCGCCGUCAGAGUAAGGAUGCUGCGGGAGAUCCACAGGCUGAUGAAGGCGCUGCUGCUGCCGAUUGAAGAUUGGCCAGCAGGCCAUACAAAUAAUAAUAAUGAUAAUAAUUAUUAAUCUUUUUUUUCUUUUAUCUAUGUAUUUGUUUUUUGUUUGUUUUAUAAAAAAUUAUGUUUGAUGCAUUUGAUUUUUUAUUUCUUAUUUAAUUUUCAUGCUGUCUAUUUCUUUUUCUCAACGAAUGACAUGUCUACAAUUAAGGAAUAAUUCGAUUCCAGUAUCAAUAGCAAGAGAUCAACAUAUGAGUUGAGUUAUCUGUUAGGUUUUUGACAGAAACUGUAUUUGCUAUUCGAAAUAGAUUAGUAAUCUGGUGAAACAGAUUAUUUAUCUGUUGAAACAGAUUAGUAAUUUGGUGCAACAGAAUACCCAUCAAUUCGAUUCAUAUUACGGGCAUCUAGAACCAUAAACACGAAUCCAACAUAAGUCUACUGUUACAACAAAAUAUUUAUUUGGUACCGCAGAUAAUGAAUCUGUUUAAACAGAUUGCUCUUAUGUUGCAUUCAUGUUUGCGUGCUAGCUAUUGUUGAAAAAACAACACACUAGUAGUUACCCAGAUAACAAAUUCAACUAAAAAAUAUAAUUUGACUUACCAAAGUCUCCUCUCAAGUAAAUGCCGAAGUUGAAAGUGAUUUACGAAAUAAAAUUUGACAUAAGAAUUUGGACAAAGAGUAGCAGUUGGGGUAACAACAACAACAACAACAAUGAUCAACAAGAUGAAUAUGAAGAUGAUAAUGAAGUAUAAGAUGAUGAUAAUGGAUCAGAAGAUGAUGAAUAAAGCAACAACAACAAUGAACAACAAAUAUCGCGAAUAAAGAGAAAAUAACAAUGGAUGAGGAGAGAGAAAAAUGCGUCUUUUUCCCUUCGUUUCUCGUUAUAUUAACUAACAUUUGGAUCAAAGUAUAAAUUUAAAAACUUGUGGGUUAUUUUGAAAUUUUUUAAACUUUCUUAAUCCAUAAUUAAGUAAUUGUCACCUCUACUCAAUUAUUAAGACUUGUGUCACCCAUACCUCAUUUUAAAUCUCUUUUGUCACCUGUGGCCCAAAGCCCCUACUCUCCUUGUCCAAACUUUUGUGACAUUGAUAGUUAAUUAUAUUUUUUAAAUAGUUUAAGUUUUUAAUUAUUGUAAUUUAUAAUACAGUUUCUUCUAUUCUAAUUUAAGUGGCACUGAGAUAAUUUCGAAAAUCAAUCAUAUACCACGAUUUAAGUAGCGAAGCAGACAUGUAUUAAAUGAAUCAUAAUAACUAAUCAGAAAUGACAUAACAAAAUUGCUACAAAAAACAUCUAAGUGGGUCUCAUAUAAGAUGUCAAGUUAAUUUAAAACAACAAGAGUUAAUUUGUGUCUAUUUUUUCUUUUUUUUUAUUUAAUAUUAUUAAAUUUUUAAUACUUAGAUGAGUUAUAACAAUUAAUUAGGUGUGAUAUAAUAAAAUUACGAUUGAAGAAGCUGAAGCAACCAUGUUAUAAAUGUCUAAUUUACCUAUUCUAUUAAACAUGAUUAAUUUUAUAAUAUGUAAGAUCCAAUCAAAUAUCACGAUGUGGUGAAUCAGACAUGUAUUAAAUAACUCACAAUAACUAAUUAGAGAUAUAACAAAUUGCUACAAAAGAUAUUUGUAAAAACAAUUUAAGUGGGUCUCAUAUAAGAUGUCAAGUAAUUUAAAACAUCAAGAGUUAAUUUAUCAUUUUAUUUCUAUUUUAUUUUUUAUUAAAUAUUAAUUUUUUAAUACCUAGAUGACUUAUAAUAAUUAAUUAAGGAAUGAUAUAGUAAAAUUACGAUUGAAACAGCUGAAACAAAUAUGUCAUAAUUGUCUAUUUUACCUUUUUUAUUAAAUAUUAUUAAUUUUUAAAUACAUAAAUGACAUAUAAUAAUUAUUUAAGGGUAAUACAAUAAUAUCACGGAAGAAGCAGGCACGUCAACAAAGAGGUGUCUGCUUCUUCGCGUUUCUAAUUAGUAGUAAUUUUUUAUUAAAUAUUAUUUUUUAAUACCUAGAUGACUUAUAAUAAUAAUUAGGGAGUGAUAUAGUAAAAUUACGAUUGAAACAGCUGAAACAAAUAUGUCAUAAUUGUCUAUUUUACUUUUUUUAUUAAAUAUUAUUAAUUUUUAAAUACAUAAAUGACAUAUAAUAAUUAUUUAAGGGUAAUACAGUAAAAUCACGGAAGAAGCAGGCACGCCGACGAAGAAGUACCGGCUUCUUUGCGUUUCUAAAUAGUAGUAAUUAUUUUUUAUUAAAUAUUUUUUUUUUUUAAUACCUAGAUAACUUAUAAUAAUUAAUUAGAGAGUGAUAUGGUAAAAUUACGAUUGAAAAAAACUAAAACAGAUAUGUCAUAAUUGUUUAUUUUAUUUUUUAUUAAAUAUUAUUAAUUUUUAAAUACAUAACUGACUUAUAAUAAUUAUUUAAGAGUAAUAUAGUAAAAUCACGGAAGAAGCAGAUACGUUAACAAAGAGAAACUUCCAAGUUGCUGACUAUGAUCAUGUGCAAAUAGAAAAAAAAAAGGCAAUCUAGUGCACUAAAGUUCCCACUAUAUGCAGAAUUUAGGGAAGAGUCGAAUCAUAAAGAUUUAUUGCACGCAAUCUUACCUUGCAUUUCUGCGAGAGAUUGUUUCCACUUUUCAUGGCUUAAAACCGUGACCUGAAGAUCACAGAGAAACAACGUCCGACAAUUUGGAGCUUAAUUACAAAAAAUUUCAAUAUUUUGCAUAAUUAAUGAUAACUCGGAAUUUUGAAUUUAUCAAGAUAUAUAAUUAGCUCCGAUAGAUUCAACAAAGAUACAUUUUUUCCGUUGUAAAGAUACAUAAUAAACUUUCUAUAUAUUUUUUUGUUUUGAUUUUUGGUCUGUCGAGAUACAUAAUACAUUCAACGAAGAUACAUGUUUUCCUUGUAAAGAUAUAUAAUUAGCUCUUUGAUAUAUUCAACGAUGAUACAUAAUUAGUUGGAAUUUUGGUAAUUACUUUGUAAGGAUGGAAAAUUAUAUAAAUAUAGUAAGUUUAGGUGUGUAUAUAUAUACUAGAUACUUAGCCCGUGCCAGCACGGGCCCAAUAUAUAUUAUUUGUGUUAUCACAAUUUAUAUAGCACAAAUUAUAUUUGGAGAGUCAAUUAAAUUUUUAUUAAUAUAAUUUUUAAAUAAUUUAAGUUGCUAAUCAUUGUGUUUUAUAGUACCUUUUACGUAAUUAUCAAACAAUUUAUGUUACUCGCUUUAUCCCAAUUUUGAAAUUUAGAGAGUCAAUCAAAUUUUUACUAAUAUAAUUUUUAAAUAUUUUAAUUAUUAAUCGUUGUGAUUUAUAGUAUUUUUGUAUGUAAUCUCAAAUAAUUUAUGUUACUCGCUUUAUCACAAUUUAUGUGACAUUAUUACAAUUUAAGAGUCAAUCAUAUUUUUUACCGUAUUUUUUUUAUAAUAUUAUAAGAUGUUAAUAGUUAUGACUUAUAAUUUUUUUUCUGUAUAUUUUUUAAAUAUAUAAUAUUUUACCUAAAUAAAAUAAAUAAAUCAAAAUAACAAAGUACCAAAUUUUCAAAAUAUUGUUGUGUAGUGUGUGUUUCACACGUGUCUUUUACCUAUCUUUUUUAAAGAAGGCCGUUUGGAUAGAGUUUCAUUUUUCCCCUUUCUAUUAGUUUCAAUUUUUAUGGUAUUACUGCAAUUUUAAAGUUCUCUUCAUGUUUCACUUUUUCUACAAAUGUUGUUUUUCAGCAAAGGGGAAAACUAAAAUGAGAUUUUUAAUCUUCAAUUUUCCGUUUUCUUCUUUAGAUCUUCGACAUGCAAUACGUAGAACUAUUGAUUUCUCUUAAAAACCCAUUUUUUUUUUUCUCCAUUUUGGAAUAAGCAGCAAACAUGGCUUCUCCUUCAAAUUUUUGUAUGGUUAUGAUUUUCUUCUUUUACUUUUGAUACAAAAAAUCCUCGAUUAACUUUUUCUGGAUUUUGCUGAAUUUAGGAGGUGAAUCGGUAUCAAGUAUUCCGUUAAUGAUUCAAGAGCUUCUUAUGAACUUCGACAACUAAAUCCUUUGGUUUGAUACCUUCGUAUCCGAGAGUCAACAUCUCUUCACUCCGGGUGUGUUUGGUAUGAUGAAAAAUAUUUUUGAUGGAAAGUGUUUUCUUUUGAAAAAUAAGUUGGUUUUCUACUUAUUUUCUCAUGUUUGAUUGGUGAAUGAAAAAUAUUUUUGAAAAGAUAUUUUAUGGUGUUUAGUUGGUGAGCAGAAAAUAUUUUUUAGAAAAAUAUUUUCUUGACGAUUGAAAAAUAUUUUUUUAGAAAAUACUACUAUUUGUUAAUUAAUAUAUCAGUACCUCUAACAACUUAACAAUUUGGAAGAACUAAUUUAAGCAUAACAAAUAAUAUCGAUAUCAAAUACUAAAAUAUUACAAUCAUUAAAUUUAAGCAACUAUUAAUUAACAAAUAUAAGAGAUACUUUUUAAUAUUUUGUUAGGACAAUCUCAAGAUACUAUAAUUAAUAGAAAUAUAACAGAAUGACAAACUAAUUCAAUAUCAAUAUAACAGAAUGACAAACUAAUUCAAUAUCGUAACAAGUUAUAUUGAUAACAAAAUGAAAUAUGUAAUUAACAAAAGUAAUAUAAUUUAAUAUCGUAACAAGUUACAUUGAUAAUAAAAUGAAAUAUGCGAGUAAUAUAAUUUAAUAUCAUAACAAGUUACAUUGAUAACAAAAUGAAAUAUGCAAUUAACAAAAGUAAUAUAUUUAAGUUUUUCUCUGUGCAUAUAAAAAUAAUAAUAUAUUCAACGAAUUAAAAAUGGAAAAAAUUUGAACUUAAUUAUUUUUUAUUUUAAACAAACAUUUUCGAGUAAUGUAAAUUUUUAAAAAAUAUAAAUUUUUUAAGUCAUGUGAAUAUAAAUGUUGUUGUGGUGGGAAGAAGGGUGAGAGUUAGGUUAUAAGUCACAUUUAUCAUUUUCUGGAAAAUGACUUUCCUUGGCCCAUAAGGGAACUCAUUUUCCAUCAAAUGAUGGAAAAUAAAUUAUCUUGAAAAAUAUUUUUCUAAACUUUUGUUGCAACUAAACAAGGAAAAAUCGGAAAACAUUUUCUGAAAAAUAUUUUCCUUCAUACCAAACACACCCUCCAUCUUUAUGGUCGGCGCUGAAUCUCAAAAUGGAGAUUUUUUGUGGUUGGCGCAGAUAGGUCCAUUAAAAAAGGUUUGGGUCAGUCAACUAGUGUCAAAAGCCCAACCCAACAUCCUCCAAUAAUAAAUCCCAACCCAACAACCCCAUUACAAAAAAGCCCAACCCAACACCCCCAACACAAAAAGCCCAACCCGACAAUCCCCAACACAAAAAGCCCAUAAAUUUUAUCCAUAUUUCUUCUUUCUUCUCCAUUACAAUUCUGCAAAACCCUCGUAGUACUCCCUCAGAGGUUUUAGUAGCAGACGAACAAUGGCGAAAACGAGCAAAACCGAAAGUUCAUCAAAGAAGAAGAAGAUGAAGAAGAGCAGCAAAACAGGUCCAAAAUCCAAAGACAUGAAGCUCAAACCACCAAAGGAAAAUCCAUUCGAAGCUAUUUGGUCACGCCGUAAAUUCGAUAUACUUGGCAAAAAACGUAAAGGUGAACAACGAAGAAUUGGUGAAGCUCGUUCUUCUGCCAUCGAAAAGGUACACUUACUUUUCUUAUUUAGUCUGUUUCAAAGUCUGACAGUAUUUAAAAGUCUUUUAUUACUUUCUUAAAUUUCGUGCCAAAGUGAAAACGAGACAAUUAACUCGAGACAGACGGAGUAUUUAGCAUAAAAAAAAAGUUGCAUAUUUUUGAUUGAUUUUUCAUUAAUUUUAGGUAGUUUGGUAAACUACUUAGUCAUAAGAACUAUCUAUUUUGACUCGACACGAAAUUUAAAAAAAUGAAAUUUUUUUGAAUUUUGUGAUCUUAAAUUAAAGUUGUGUCAAAUGUACAAAAAGCCUUUUAAUCUUGUAGUUUCAAACAUGCCAUUUGGAAAGUUGGAAUUGAAGUGUUGCCAAAAAGGAAAAAGGGUCAUUCUUGUUGAAACAGACUAAAAAGAAAGUACUUUAAUUUUUUUGGAAUGGAGGGAGUACAACAUUCGAGAGCUAGUGAGAAAAUAAAAGUUAUUCAUAUAAAAGAUUAAUAUGAAAUUUGGUUUGCAAUUUAGAAACCUAGAUAACUAAUACUUGCAUAGUUAGUAGCAUUACUAAUACAACAACAACAAACCCAGUAUAUUCCCACAUAGUGGGGUCUGGGGAGGGUAGAAUGUACGCAGUCCAUACCACUACCUCUAGGGAGGUAGAGAGGCUAAUUCCAAUAGACCCCCGGCUCAAGACAAAAGACAUUAAACAGAAACAUCAAAAUCGUAGAACAUGAUACAAAUAAAAUAGGUAUGACACUCGCAAUUAGAGAAAAGAAAGAAAGAAAUACAUACGUAAAUCAAUAACUAAAGCCAUAAAUAAAUAGAUAAAUACAUAAAUUUGCCAACAAACGACAGCAAGUCCUCCUUCUUACUGACUACUACUCCUCCACACCCUUAGCCCUUUACUCUAAUACUUUUCCUCCAUAACUUUCUAUCCAGGGUCAUGUCCUCAGUCAGCUGUAACUGCUCUAUGUCACGUUUAAUCACUUCUCUCCAGUGUUUUUCGGUCUACCCCUACCCCACUUGAAACCUUCCAAGGCCAACCUCUCACACCUACAAACUGGGGCAUCCGUGCCCUUCCUCAUCACAUGACCAAACCAUCUCAACCUCACUUCCCGAAUUUUAUCCUCCACCGNNNNNNNNNNNNNNNNNNNNNNNNNNNNNNNNNNNNNNNNNNNNNNNNNNNNNNNNNNNNNNNNNNNNNNNNNNCCAGCGUAACAUUCUCAUUUCCGCCACCUUCAACUUUUGGAUAUGAGAACUCUUAACCGGCCAACACUUUGCUCCAUACAACAUAGCAGGCCGGACUGCAACUCUAUAGAAUUUGCCUUUCAGUUUGAGGGGCACCUUGUGUCGCAUAAAAUUCCCAAAGCGAGCCUCCAUUUCAUCCAACCUGCCCCCAUGCGGUGAGAUACAUCCUCAUCUAUCUCUUCAUUCCCCUGAAUCGUAGAACCAAGAUACUUAAAACUAUCCCUCUUGCAAACCACCUGAGAAUCCAACUUUACUACCAGCUCCUCCUCUUGCCUCGAGUCACUGAACUUGCACUCCAAGUACUCCGUCUUGGUCCUACUCAACCGAAAACCUUUAGACUCCAGGGUCUCUCUCCAAAUCUCCAGCUUAUCAUUAACCCCUUGUCGCGAUUCAUCAAUCAGAACUAUAUCAUUCGCGAAAAGCAUACACUAAGGCACCUCACCUUGUAUAUUCCGCGUCAGCACAUCCAUCACCAAAGCGAAUAAAAACGGACUAAGAGUUGAUCCCUGGUGCAACCCUGUCAAGACUGGAAAAUGCUCAGAAUCUCCUCCCACUGUCCUUACCCGAGUCUUCGAUCCCUCAUACAUGUCCUUAAUCGCUCUGAUAUACGCCACGGGAACCCCCUCGCCUCCAAGCAACUCCAAAGAACCUCCUUAGGGACCUUGUCAUUCGCCUUUUCCAGGUCUAUAAACACCAUGUGAAGAUCCCUCUUCCUCUCUCUAUGCUGCUCCACCAGUCUCCGCACAAGGUGAAUUGCCUCAGUCGUGGAGCGACCAGGCAUAAAACCAAAUUGGUUCUCCGAAAUAGACACAAUCUUCCUCAACCUCCGCUCCACCACCCUCUCCCAAAUCUUCAUCGUGUGACUCAACAACUUAAUACCCCGGUAGUUGUUGCAACUCUGAAUGUCACCCUUGUUCUUAUAUAGAGGAAUCAUCGUGCUCCAUCUCCACGCCUCGGGCAUCUUUGCUGACUUGAAAAUAUUAUUAAACAAGUUGGUCAGCUACCGCAACCCUGACCCGCCAUAGAACUUCCAAAAAUCCACCGGAAUCUUGUCGGGCCCCGUCGCCCUACCCCUUCUCAUCUUGCGAAUAGCCUCACUGACCUCCUCUACCCUAAAACGCCGACAGUUAGUAGCAUUACUAAUACCUGCAUAAUUCUAACCAGCUACCAAACGACCUUAAUAAUAUCUAUAAAAGAUGUUGUUUGCUUUCUUAAUUCUGGGAGAAGCCAAAACCGUAUAAUCAAAUUGAAAGAGUGAGUAUUUAAAAAAAAAAGUUGCAGUAUUUUGACUGAUUUUCCAUUAAUUUAAGGCUUUUGGGAUUUUGAUUAUGAUUGUUUUGUUGUGAUUAUAGAGGAAGAAGACACUAUUGAAGGAGUAUGAGCAAAGUGGGAAAUCAUCAAUGUUUGUUGAUAAGCGUAUUGGAGAAAAUGAUGAAGGGCUUGGUGAAUUUGAUAAAGCUAUUAUGAGGUCUCAGCGUGAGAGGCAGGUUUGUUUCGAAAGUUUUCUUCACUGCCAAUCGUUUAAUUUUGUUCAUAUUUUGUUGUAAGAAGUAAAAGUUGAUGAUGCUUCAUAACUCACAAUCAAUGUUAGCAUAAAGUAGUGAUUUUUAUCAUGUUAGCGUGAAGUAGUGAUUUUUAGAUGAUAAUGUCUUCUCUAAAAGUUCUGUUCACGACCAAUGCUUGAAUAUUAUAUUCAGAUUCUACUUUUUUUUUUGAGUAAGCAUGAGCACCUCGACUAAUUCAAUGAGAAAGCUCAACUAGUUCCAUUAUAGGGGUACUUGCUAAAUCUCUCACCAUACCAUUACAUGUAUCGGUGUACUCUGUCUAUCAAGAUUUGGAUGGAUGAGAAGGAUUCACCUAGUUUUUUGCCUCUCUGCUGGAAUUUGAACAUGAAACUAAUGGUUCUAAAUCCACUUCGUUUAUGAGUAGGUCUCACCUUGGGUGUCAAAUUCUAUAGUUAGAAGUAACAUUUGAUGUCCAAAGUUGUAACCUAAUGGUUGAUGUAAUGACCCUUUCGGUCAUUUUUCAUAUUUCCGCUUAUUUUCACCGUUAGGGCCUUUCCAUAGCUGCCACAAGUCAAAUGACUUGUGGGAUGACUUGCCUUUCCAUAAAAAUGACUUGUGACAGCUAUGGAGAAGCCCUAACGGCGAAGAUAAGCGGAAAUAUGAAAAAUGACCGGAAGAGUCAUUACAGUUGAUGAAGUGGGAGGAGAACUAUGUGGCUUCAAGUUUAAAUCCCACACUAUUUUUUUUUUAAGGUGUUCUUUUCCAUCCACCUUAGUUUAGGUGGCCAGUUACUCGGUACGUGGGAGGUACAGCCUGGUGGAACAGUUGAGAGGUCUGUACACCAUUGUCAAUAAAAAAAGAGUUAAAACUGAUGCUUCAGAAGUUCAACGUCCUCUUUUUGUAUUGCCCCCACGUGUUUGAUGGGGAAAAACUUGUUCUCUGUUCGUUAUGUUAGCAUAAAGUAGUAUUUUUUAUGGUGGAAAAUAUACACACUCAUUGUAAAUAAAAAAGAAUCAUAAGUAGAUGUUGAAGAAGUGGUCUUUCAAUGGCAAUCAUGGAGAUUUAGUUAGCUAUGCUUUUUUAGUUUGGCCAUCUAAAUAAUGAAGAGUCAGUUAGAGAAGAUUAGAGCAUUGGCGUGAGAGUGAAUUUUCGGUCAAAAUAAACAAGCUUGUUAAAUGCCAAAAUUGAAAAUUGCACGUCUGGAUAUUUGAAUACGCCAACUUACAUAAUGGAACGGAGAAGGCUCAACCCUCCAUAGUGAACCCAACUUUGGAAAUGGGAUCUGAAACAAAUCAAUGAACUCAUUUUCAAACAAAGAAGAUAAAAAAGAAAAGCGUGGAGCCUAGGAAUAGGAAAUGAAUGGAUCAUUGCGUGUUCAUUUCGUCAGGAACGCCAGAUUAAUCAUCAUUAGAAAAAAAAUGCGCAUUGAGUGAGUAGUUAGUUGAAGGCGAGCCUUGACUGGUAAAUUUACUGCCAUGUGACCAGGAGGUCAUGUGUUCAAGCCUUGGAAACAGCCUCCGCAGAAAUGCAAGGUAAGGCUGCGUACAAUAUACCCUUGUGGUGAGGCCCUUCCUUGGACUCCGUGCAUAGCGGGAGCUUUAGUGCACCGGACUGCCUUUUUUUAUUGUGCGAGUAGUUAGUUCAGGCCUUUUUGCAUGAGAAAAAUGGUUGCAUGAUUUUACCAGUGUGCCUUUCACUUUUAUUAAAUUAUGUUCAUUUCGUCAGGAACGCCAGAUUAAUCAUCAUUAGAAAAAAAAUGCGCAUUGAGUGAGUAGUUAGUUGAAGGCGAGCCUUGACUGGUAAAUUUACUGCCAUGUGACCAGGAGGUCAUGUGUUCAAGCCUUGGAAACAACCUCCGCAGAAAUGCAAGGUAAGGCUGCGUACAAUAUACCCUUGUGGUGAGGCCCUUCCUUGGACUCCGUGCAUAGCGGGAGCUUUAGUGCACCGGACUGCCCUUUUUUAUUGUGCGAGUAGUUAGUUCAUUUGCAUGAGAAAAAUGGUUGCAUGAUUUUACCAGUGUGCCUUUCACUUUUAUUAAAUUAUCUGAUACUGCUCUAUUGUUGUUGACAAAUAUCUACUUUUUGUUUUCCUUAAUAUCUAGAUGAAAUUGAAGAAAAACAAGUAUAAUCUGUCAGAUGAGGAUGAAGAGGACUUUGACUUUGGUGUCUCAUUGGGAAGGGAUGAUUUUGAUGAGGAAGUUCCAUUUGAUGAGGAUGAGGAGGAUUAUGCAAGAGACGGUGAGAAUAACCCUUCGCGUGUUUAAAAUGAUACUAGUUUUUAUAUGGCAAAAAAAGGAGUAAUUUGUUGCCAAAAUGUCAUGUUGAAUUCAAAUCAUACUAAUUAGGAUUCUUUGAAAUUAUAGAGGGAGAAAAUCUUUUUGUUCGAGAAUGUGUGCGUAGCUUAUUGGGGUAGACCAAGAAAGUUGGUCAAUGUCAUUGUUUCAAUGGAGUACUUUUUCACUUCUUGAAUCAGGGUAGGAGAGACGUAUGGUAUUAUUUUUAGUUUGGUUCCGUAUCCUUUAUGGUAAGGACUAAGGACACCUAUUUUAUUUUAUUGUUAGAUGCCCCACCUUUUUUGGUAGUUACGCAUUAACAUUCUUAAGUCAAUGUACAUUUAAAAGAAACCACAGAGCUUUUGAUGGGGUGGAGAACUACUAUGUACAUUUGAAGAAUAGUCUCUCAUUCCCCGUUUCUUUUGCUGCAUCAGUGAAGUUCCAGUUUGUAUAUAGGAGCUGGUAUGUUCAGAUUUUGUAGAUUCUCUAAUUUUCUGUAUACUGUUUGUUUGCUGGAGAUUUUCGUAUGAUAGUAAAUUAUUUACCUUAUUAAAAAAAAACCUCAAAGUCCCUUGUAUAGUUACAAAAGUUAAGGAGAAUGCUUCUGAUGGUCCUGACACUCUUGGAGGCUUGUACUAUCUUUUUGCUGUAUUUUGUCGUACAAGUUACUCCCUAUUCAAAAAAUAAAUAAUAGGAGAAAAAUUUAUGAAGAAAAACCAUCAUCAUAAACCUAAUCUAGCUACCAGCUAGAGUAUUACCACCAUUAUUGGUUCAUACAUUAUCAUAUCUUUUUUUCAGGGAAGUUGGUAAUGUUUCAAAGCUUGUAUUUUCUGUUGUUUAGCAUCUUAAAUUGUUUCUUGUAUGGUUUUCCUCAUAUGUCUAUUUUGGUGCAGAUAAGUCAGCUAUCUUGGGACAACUUAACUCUCAUGGAUCUCAGAAUGCCCAACCAGGUCCAGUGGAAGCAGAGGAAAAUGUUAGAAUCUCCCCCUCCCCCUUUUCUUCAUGCAUAUUACAUGCUCUAUUUUGGAGUUUAUGGUGACUAGCUAUUAACAGAGGAAAUAGUUGUUAUCUUUCUUGCCCCUCCCAUGAUUAAGAGCUCACUUAAUUGUUAUUCUGAAUAGUUUGGCACUUAGAUAUAAAUGUUUGUAACCUUGUAACUUAAAUUGCUACUCCAUGCAUCUUUUGAGUCAUAUGAAAAGAAAGAAAUUGAACAUGUCUUGAAGGAAGCACUGAAUCUACACACACGAUGAAAUAUAGUGUCUCUAUCUUUUCGCUUUUUGAUGUUACCUUAUAAAAAAAAAACCUUUUUGCUUUUUGGUGUAAGUUGAUGCAUUACUAGAUGUACACAUUAUUGAUGCAUUACUAGAUCAUUGCAGUACCCUACAAUUGUAAAAGGUAUAUAGGGACUGAGAUAUUCUUUUUGGCUGUACAGAGAAGCACCAACUUGGUGCAAUUUCAUCAAUAAAAUUAUUUACUUGUGAAAAAAAAUUGUUUUGCUCAAGCAAAGCUGUUAGGUGGCCGUGUUAAUUUUUGACUGAUGAUACUAAACUAGCUUAUGCCUCUGAUAAAAUGUCAUUUAAACAUUGUUAACAAGAUAAUUACAUAUGGGACCACUGAUUUUACAGGCUGCCAUUUAAAACAACAACAAUAACAACAACAAACCCAGUGUAUUCCCACAUAGUGAGGUCUGGGGAGGGUAAGAUGUACGCAGUCCAUACCUCUACCUCUAAAGAAGUAGAAAGGCUGUUUCCGAUAGACCCCCGGCUCAAGACACGGAAUACUACACAAAUACAUAGUAAAGCAUGGAACAGGCUGCCAUUUAAAACCUGAGUAAUUUAUGAAAGAGAGAAAUAAGAAUAAAGAUUUAACAGAAGAAAACAGGUUCUUACUUUGUUACCGGGAGCAUGCAUCAUCUUGCGUGGGAUAAUAGUCCAUUGUUCACAAACAUGUCUCGAAAGAUUCCUUUUUUUUUAUUUACAACACAGCUGUUGUUCCACUCCUGAUUUAGUGUACCAUCUUAUUGCAGUGGAAGAAAAGCAAGAAAGAAGUGAUGGAGGAAAUCAUUCAAAAGAGUAAAUUCUUUAAGGUUUGUUGUUGUUUAAUGUCUUAUGGUGCAAUCUGGUAAGCGAAUGUCUCUUUACUUGCCAUAUGUUUGACAAUUCUUUCGUUUUCCCUGCAUUGUUAGGCCCAAAAAGCGAAGGACAGAGAAGAAAAUGAUGAAUUAACUGAACAAUUGGACAAAGACUUCACAUCACUGGUGAAUUCAAAAGCCUUAUUGUCACUGACCCAACCAGACAAGAUAAAUGCUCUGAAGGCUCUUGUGAACAAGAACAUUUCAGUUGAUAAUGUCAAGAAAGAUGAGGUAGCUGAUGCUCCCAGAAAAGGAUCUAUUGGAAAGGUAUAAUUGGGUUUAAUUUUUGAUUGCCAGAAACAUUCCAGAUGGAUAUGCAGAAUCCUAGUCUUCCCUCUUUUCGUGUGCCUCAAUGUAUCUUCUUCUCCAUCUCUUUUAGGUUUCUAGUGCAUUGUCCAUGAACAAUUACCAAUAAAUUUUCUUUUGAUUAUAUUAAAUUUAUCUAUGUUGACCACUUUUAUCUUCGUAUUGCUUUCAGGAAAAGCCCGACACUUAUGAGAUGCUUGUUAGUGAGAUGGCAAUGGAUAUCCGUGCUCGCCCAUCAAACCGGACAAAGACUCCUGAAGAAAUUGUGCAGGAGGAGAAAGAACGGCUGGAAUUAUUGGAGGUACAGAUGCAUUAUGGCAGAAACAAGAGCUCUUGUGUCUCUUUUUAGCAAUCAUGCAUUACAAUGAGAAUCUUUGGUACCAAGAUGGAGAAAAUGGUUAUAUUUCUAUUAGUAAAUUGCACUAUCAAAUUCUAAACUAAAGUCCUUUAAAAAAAUGUUUUCUUUUUGACGAUAGAGGAUCCUGGUUCUAUUUGACUAUUUAUAACAUUCCUUCUGUGAUGGUAUCCUUAUGUUCUUUCAAGUUGUUGUAAUGUAUGACUUUGUUAUCAGCUAGGUAAUUGGCGUUCUUGCAUCAUCAUUACUGUUCUUUCAUGCCUUCAUUAUGAAGCUGCCUACUGUGUAGUAGUAGCGAUUGCUUGCUUUGUGCAUUUUCACAUUGUAGUCUUCUAAAACAGAAUACAUUUAGCUGAACUAUUGGUUCAAAGAUUUAAUGGUUUGGAAGGAUAAAGAACAUUUAUCUUUUGGCUAUAGUAGAUAUUUGCUAAUCAAAGUUUUAUUCAUUUUGCAGAAAGAACGUCAGAAGAGAAUGGCUGCAGUUGAUGAUGAGAGUGAUGAAGAUGGAAAUGCAUCUGAUGAUGACAGUAAAUUGGUCAGAGACCCAAGGACUAUAUCUGGCGAUGAUCUUGGGGAUGAUCUUGAGGAGGCGCCUAGAAAUAAGUUAGGUUGGAUUGGUGAAAUCUUGAGAAGGAAAGAAAGUGAACUUGAGAGUGAAGAUGCUGCUUCUACGGGGGAUUCAGAUAGUGAGGAGGACGAUGGUGAGGAUGAAGGAAGUGACGAUGGGGAAGAAGAAGGAAGUGGCAAUGGGGAUGAUGAAGGAAGUGAUGAGUAUGAAGAAGGAAAGACACAGACUAUUAAGGACUGGGAGCAAAGUGACGAUGAUAUUAUUGAUGAUGCGAAGAAGGUGAUGAAAAUAAAGGACCUUAAGGGGGUUGACGUCAAGGGAAAAGAAGUUGGCACUGUACAAACCAAAAAAGAAAAAACGACUUUGAAGCAUCCACAAAGCGAACUUCCCUAUACAAUUGAAGCCCCCAAAACCCUAGAGGAGUUCACUUCAUUGAUAGACAAUUGUUCUGAUGAUCAAGUAAUUGAAGCAAUCAGGAGAAUUCGUACAUUCAAUGCAAUAACUGUUGCAGCAGAGAAUAAAAAGAAAAUGCAAGUAUGAUACUCUGUUUUCACUGCAAUUUCUUUAUGAUUGAUGUUUUAACCUUUGAGACUUUCUCCGUUCUUGUUGUUAACACAUGGUGUGAAGGUUUGCCUUGAAAUUUUAAGAGUAUUUCACCAUUUAACUGUAUUUGCUCAUGUAAAUAUCUCUGUGCAUUGAUAAAAAAUGUUUACCGCAAUUUCUUUAUAAGUAGCUUGUUUCUUUCAUCAGGUCUUUUACGGCGUGUUGCUGCAAUAUUUCGCUGUGUUGGCAAAUAAGAAGCCAUUGAAUUUCAAGCUUUUGAAUUUGCUUGUAAAGCCACUGAUGGAGAUGAGUGCAGCAACCCCAUACUUUGCAGCUAUAUGUGCUCGCCAAAGGCUGCAAAGAAUAAGGACACAGUUUUGUGAAGAUCUUAAGCAUACAGGUUUGUUUUCAUAUCCCAUUUGUUUUCUUUAGUCAAUCAUUCUAUCUCAACUUAUGUUUCUUGACUUCACCUAUUGUGUUUAAUUCAUUUGGUCCAUCCGCAUAGGAAAAAGCAGUUGGCCAUCUUUGAAGACUGUCUUUUUGUUGAGGCUUUGGUCCAUGAUAUUUCCAUGCUCUGAUUUUCGCCAUUGUGUCAUGACUCCUGCUAUACUGCUUAUGUGUGAAUACCUAAUGCGCUGUCCCAUCAUUUGCGGAAGAGAUAUUGCAAUUGCUUCCUUCUUGUGCUCUUUGCUGCUCAGUGUAAGUCGAUACCAUGUUUCAUUUGUCUUUCAUGCACUGAAAUUGAUCGUUUGCUUAAGUUGAGGGUUCUACGAUUUUGUUUAGUAGUGUCUUAUAUAUCAUCGGAACACGUAUGGUUUCCACCUGUAUUAUAAUCUUCAACUAAAUCAAAGCAGCAUCUGGACUUCUGGAUGUAUAGUGAUUGUCUCCGCCUAGUAUAUAUCGUGUACCUUACUAAUAGUAUGUGCUUCAUAGUGAAUAUCUGCAUAUUACCCUCCUUGUUCUAAUUCGUCAAGUCAUUUGUCUUUGAAACCAUUUAUAGAUAUCUCCAUUGUUUCUCCUUCUUCCUUCCUUGUUUUAUACUUAAAUACAGCGUGUUAGUCCAGCGUUAUACAGGAUUUCUUAGAGAGCUAAUUGCUUUUAAAUCAUGACUUUGAUUGCAAAUAUUUUCAAUAUCUUGUGCAUAUUUGCUUAUAUACCUCUUAUUAGUUUUCAUUUGUGAUAUUUGGAAGUAUGAAUUCUUGUGUGGUGUGUUCUGUCCUCAUACUCUCGAGGCAUGAGUUCAUAGCUUUGCUUGUUUUAGGUAUACAAAGCUUCAGAAACUUUGUUAAUUUUCUAAGAUUCCAUCUGUCUCUACUUAUUUAUUACUCUUUUGUCUGUUCCGGAUUGCACCUUUUUAUUUUUCAAUAGCAUAUAGUUAAGUUUACAUUCUCAUCUUGUCAUUUGACAAGGUUUUGUUGCAGUCUCCACUGGAAAUGAAAAUAAAUAAUUUAACUUGGUACUGAAGUAAAUUUUUAUAUUUUAUUCCUAUUAAAUUAUUUAAAUUGGAAUAGAGGGAGUUUCUUUACUAAAGUCACUCAAAAUCAAGGUGCAGGUAGUUCUUAGGACUUCUUUAGGUUAAAUGGACCUAGAUUAUUUGCAAUAGUCGACUUGUCAUCCCCUUUUAUACCUAUGAGCUAAGUUGCUCGGACUCUCCAAAAAUGUUGCUGAACCCUGUCGGAUCCUUCAAAAAUACACUAUUUUGGGAGGAUCUGCACGCACUCAUUGACAUUUUUGAAGAGUCCGAGCAACAUAGCCUAUGAGUGACCAUACUCAAGUUGGUUCCGGUAGCUAUGUGUUAUUUAGUGUCAACUUCUGGUCAAACAACACGUUUUAUUAAAGACCGGUUGACAAGGUAAUCCCUUUUGAGAUUUAACUUUUGGCUUUUAGUUCUUUUAUUCUCAAAAAGCAUUCUUCCUGGUUGAUGGUGUUUGCAAUUACAGAAUGACCAUUUGGACGUAUUUCUCCAAGCUUAAACGUCUUGCGCUGCAGGUAACUAAACAAUCUCAAAAGUUUUGUCCUGAGGCUAUAGUAUUUCUUCAAACUUUGCUGAUGGCAGCUCUAGACAGGGAACAGCGAUUUGAAAAUUUACAGGUUUGGCUUUACUUCAGUGUUUGAGCCGAGGGUCUAUUGGAAACAGCCUCUCUACCUCUAUAUUCGGGCUGCUUCCUUCCACUUGUAAAUUGAAAGUCAUAUUCUCGUGCUGCAGUUGAAUAACCUUAUGGAGAUCAAAGAACUUGGGCCUUUGCUUUGUAUACGCAGUAGCAAUGCGGAGAUGGGUUCUUUAGAUUUUCUUGAGCUAAUGGACUUACCAGAGGACUCUCAGUAUUUCGACUCUGAUAAUUACAGGUCAGUUGGCAUUCUGGUGACAUAGGCAAAUCUAUUUGAGGAAUCUCAAAGUUCGUUAAAUUUUUGAAUAUGGCUCUAUGAGAUACAGUUGAGACAAAUUACAUGAUGCGAUUAAAUGUUUUCUCGUGCAGGGCUAGCAUCCUCGUAACAGUUCUGGAAACCCUGCAAGGAUUUGUCAAUGUAUAUAAGGACCUUAUUUCUUUUCCUGAGAUUUUCAUGCCAAUUUCAAAAUUAUUAUGCAAAUUGUCCGGAGAAAAUCAUAUUCCAGGUGCAUUAAGGGAGAAAAUCGAGGAUGUAUCCCAAUUAAUUGACACAAAGGCUCAGGAACAUCACAUGUUGCGUCAACCUUUGAAAAUGCGUAAGAAAAAACCUGUGCCCAUCAGGAUGCUUAAUCCGAAAUUCGAGGAGAAGUAAGAGAUAAUCUUCUUAUUGCCUUAUCUUUAAUCAAAAGAAUCAUAUUGCUCGUUUCUGUCGAGCUUUACUCAUCUAGUGAUCAUAUACCUCUGCAGCUAUGUCAAGGGUAGAGAUUAUGAUCCAGAUCGUGAGCGUGCUGAAAAGAAAAAGUUGAAGAAACGUAUAAAAGAGGAAGCUAAAGGUGCUGCACGAGAACUGCGUAAGGACAAAGAUUUCUUGGCCAAGGCGAAGGAAAGGGAAAAGGCCCUACUGGCCGAAGAGAAGGCUGAGAAAUAUGGGAAAGCUCUUGCUUUUCUUCAAGAACAGGAGCAUGCAUUUAAAUCAGGGCAAUUGGGAAAGGGCCGGAAGAGAAGAAGAUGAAAUUAGCUUUUGGUUGUUACUUGAAAAUUUUAUCUCAAAAGCUUCUCGUCUUUUGGUAAGGUUUGUUAUUUAUUUUGCAUUGACAGUGAAUGUAUAAGUACUCUAUCUACUAUACUACAAAUAGAUGUCGUCACUUCACUGUCAACAUCCAAUAGAUAUCCCUACUUGUUGAUACUCCGUCUAGUAUACUACAUAUUAGUUCAAUAGGUCAUCACUCCCUCUCUUGCUUGGCAUGGUCUCAACAUAUUAGUGUGUUCUUUAUUUAAUAUUGGAGGUAAAUUGUUAUAUAAAUACUAAUGAACACACCAUAAUGCUACAUAGCAGUAUUAAAACUGUUAUUGAUACAAAAUAUUGGAACUCUUCUUUAUUGUUCCUAGGAAUUGAAGUUGCUGAAUGCUGGAAAGUACCAGAGGAUUGAACGAGCAAUCGCAUUGUUUCGGUGAUGGUUACAACACGCCCAUCCAUCUUUGCCGUUCCAACUGUGCCACCGUGUUUCGUUGAAUUUUGUCUCAUGUCUUCUUGCAGAAGAUCAGUUUUGUCCAACACAAUCUGCAUAUUUAAUGUCUUGAGUUGUAAAAAAGGAAUAACUAUGUUCCUCGAACCUAAUGUGCAUGGUUGCUUGUUUUUUUGUUGUAUUUGUCAUUUUACAUUUAACUGAAGAGAGUUAAAUUCAUUAUAGUGUUAAAAGUCAUCUAUGUUGUAGUUUGGUUGUACCCUACGAUUGGAUGCUGAGAAGACAAUAGUUUACAUCCCAAAGGAGUUAUAAUUUUCUUUUCAAACCUGUUUUGGAAUGCUUACUUGUUUUUACAGACGCUCGGCUCGAGAAAAAGCAAAGCAAAGUAGUCUAAAGAAAGAAUUGACGAAAGUGAAAAUGUCAGUAAAUAUUUUAUAAAGCAAUUUGAAGAAAAGGAACAGUACCCAGAUCUUACUUUUGUGGAUUUAAUUGGGAUUGCUGUUAUUGAAGAAAAGAAACAAUAACUAGUACAAAAUAAAGCGAUGACAACAACAUAUAUAUAUAUCGUAGUGUAUUUCUAUAAAGUGGGUGGGUUUAAGAAGAUAAAGCGUAUGCAGUUCAUACCACUGUGAAAAGUAAUAAGGUCCACUGUGAAAAGUAAUAAGGUGGUCCUCCUUUUUUUGGAAAGUUCGCAUUUGCUACCACCAAUCAACCAGCCCUAGCAAAAUCCAAAAGUGAGGCUCCUCCAUUCCUUUCACUAAAAUGUAACAACGAUUUUACUUAGUACUAAUUUAUAGGAGAAAAUUGGAUUCAUUCAUCCACUAAUUUAUAGGAGAAAAUUGGAUUCAUUCAUCCACUAACUUUAGCUAAAUAAUUGUGUUUCUAAAAAUCUUUUAUGUAGAUCAUGAAAGUCUUCUUAUGAAAUAAUAAUAGAAUAUUAUAAAAGAAAAUUAUUCUCUAAACCAAUAGUUAAAGGUUUUGUUCUACCAAGUUUAGGCGGAAGAUGGACCCCAAAUAUUUCACCAACUGGUGGAAAAAAACACAGCUCCAGAUUAAAAUAGCAGUCAAGUAGAAAGAAUUGUUCCAAAAAAAUAAUAAAAAAUACUGAAGUAAGAAGAAUUAGAAAAAUAAAGAUACAAUGAAGGUGAAUAAUCACAAGCAAAAAUCUUGUUUGGUUUUAAUCCUUCUUUUCUUUAGUUUUAAUUGGGCCAGGAGAAAGGAAUUCCAAGGUGGGGUUCAAACCCUAAUUAAAAGGAUAAAAAUUCAAAUAGUGAAUUAAAUGAUCUACUAAGAUUUUUCAUAAAAGUAGAAUCAAGUUCAUUGAUAAUAAUAAUAACUUAAUCAGUGUAAUUUCACAAGUUGAACCUGAAAAAAAAUGGUGUAUGUAACUUUACUAUGUACAUUCCAAUGAGAUCCUAGCUACUAUAUGUUAAAUUAAAUUAAAAGUAAACUUCAAAUAAAGACCAAGACCUUAAAAGUCUAGUUGAAGCACCGUGAAGUUGAAGCACAGUGAAGUUUUCGUCAAAUUGGUUUGGAUGGGUGCUUUAGUGACUCACGGGUCGUUUAAUAGCUGGUUAUAAUUAUUACCUAAGUAAUAGCUAUAUGUAUAAUAAUACUAACCAUCAUUACUACGAGCUAUAAAUUAAAUUGUGCUUUUAAACUAAAAAUGUAUAAAUGUAUCAAAAUAUCUUUGCAUCUUAUGAUCUUUAUACCUGUAUUGAAUUUUAAAAUGCACUAAUAAAAAUAGACAUUGACAUUUUUCUUUAAAUAAUUUAACAAAAGAUAAAACACAAAAAUUGAAACUAAAAUAUAUAGUACUAGUAUAUCAUAAUCCAUAUGCAUUCAGCUUCAUAGUACCUUUUUAACUUGUAAAAAAAAAAAAAGUAGAAGACAAAAGUAAUUAGUGGUAUGGAAUCUCUCAUCUUUAACAAAGCCAUUUGCCUUAAUAUAGUAGGGUUUCUCACUAUAUAAAAAAGAAAGGAUGUUGCUUUAAUGACAAUGCUGCUCCAAGGUUGUUUGAUUAAAAUUUAAAGUUGGGUGGAAUCUUAUAUAUAUGGGGAGAGACGAUAUUACAAAUAAUUUAUUGCUUUCUAUCGAGAGAAAAUAUUAGUACUCUCAUCGUUUUAUUUUACUUGAAAUUCGUUGAACAAUAUUUAUUAGAGAUUUAUUUUACUAAAUUAACUUUAUUAAUUAUAUUUUGAAAAUUAAAUCUGACUAUUUAUACUUUAUAUAGUGAUUCCAUAAUAGGGAGGGUAUUAAAAUAAAAUGAUAAAUUUUUCUCGAUUCAAUAAUUCAAACAAAUAAACUAAAACAAUUACUUUUAACAAGAACGCCAAGUAAACUGAAACCGAAGUAAUAUUAUUUUUAUAUACGAAAAAGAGAAAAAAAAAAAGAACAUGAUUACACCUAAGAUGUUGCUUUAAUGAUAAUGCUCCUAGGUCAUUUUUAAUAAGAAGUUGGGUCCCAUUUUCUAUUAGAAAAGAGUAAAAGAGUACUAGCUAGCAUUUAUAUAGAAGAGAUGGAAAUAGAAUGUGAAAUCCUAUGAAAAAAAAAAUAGACAAAGAAUCCUACUGAGAGAGAAAAAAGAAGUAGAGAUGGUGGAAGUGAUGAGCUUUUUGAUGGAGAAAUUGAAGGAAGCCAUACUAAUGAUGUUCAAUUUUGGUGGUCAUGUGUUUAUGAUGGUGAUAAAUUUUGUUGGGCAAUUGCUAAUGAAACCCAUACAUCUUUUUUGGCAAGGUCUAGUAUCGCUCAAAAAUUUCGGUUGGAAAGUAUUACUAUCGGUGCAAAGUUUUUUUGGACAAGGGCUAUCAUCGCUCAAAAAUUUAGGCUGGAAAGUGCUACUAUCGGUGCAAAAUUUUUUUGGGCAAUUUCUAAUGAAACCCAUAAAUUUUUUCGGGCAAGGGCUAGUUUCGCUCAAAAAUUUAGGUUGGAAAGUGCUACUAUCGGUGAAAAAUUUUUUUGGGCAAGGACUAGCAUCACUCAAAAAUUUAGGCUGGCAAGUGCUACUAUCGUUGCAAAACUUUUUCGGACAUGGGCUAGCAUCGCUCAAGAAUUUUGGUUGGCAAGUGCUACUAUCGUUGCGAAAUUUUUUUGGACAAGUGCCACUGACGCUCAAGAAUUUAGGUUUACGAGUGCUAGUGACACUGAAAAAUUUUGGUGGGCAAAUACUAGCGACGCUGAAAAGUUUUACUUGGCAAGUGAAGAAUUUAUGUGGAAAGCUUAUGAGUUGGUUUGACGAGGUGUUUCCACCAGAGACAAGAGUAGAGAAGAUCAAGUACUGGUUUCACAUAGCUUUACCCUAUCUAAUCAUCACGUUAUUUCUAGCUCUCUUGAUAUGUUGUUGCUACUUCUAUGGUGGAUUACUGAUCAGCGCGAUGAGUUUUCUCAAAAGUAUGUGUGUUGGGGUAAUGAAACUUCUCAAAACAGUGUCUGUUGGAUUGAUGAAGUUUCUCAGAAGCGUAUGCGUUACGCCUAUCAUGAGGCUUCUCAAAAGCGUGUGUGUUACACUGAUGAGGCUUUGCAUAAGACUGAUAGCCCUUGUCGAAAGAGUGUGUGUUANNNNNNNNNNNNNNNNNNNNNNNNNNNNNNNNNNNNNNNNNUGUGUUAGACUGAUAGCCCUUGUCUAAAGAGUGUGUGUUGGACUGAUAGCCCUUAUUAAAAGGGUGUGUGUUGGACUGAUGAACGCUCUCAAAAGAGUCUGCGUGACGCUGAUGAAUUAUCUCAAAAGAGUGAGCACGACACUGAUGAGUUGUCUCAAAAGAGUGUAUGUUAGCCUCAUUGAGAUUCUGAAAUUUCUCUUCCAAUGUUGCUGGCGAAGCAAUAGCAAGAUGAUGAAAGCACCAGGGAGAAACAUUAGGAUUCCAAGGUCUAGUUUUGAGAAAAAUCCCAGAUUAUACUUCACUAAUCUUCGCGCUUAUCCCGGUGAUAUGCAUGUCUAGCUAGAAAGUAUUUUGAUGCAAAUAAAUUCAGUUAGAUUGCUAGAUGGUUUGCCUCUGGAUAUGAUCUUACUCUACUAAUAGUACUGUCUAUGAUGCUGAUACAAGUCGUGGAAUGUGACAAGGAGGUAUUGAGUUCAAGUCGUGAAAAUUGCUCCUUGCAGAAAUGUAAGAUGAGGCCGCGUAUAAUAGAUUCUUAUAGCUCGGCCUUUGUCUGAAAUCCAUGCAUAGCAAAAGCUUUAUUACACUAAAUUGGCCUUUUAAUAGUACUGUCUAUGGUGCCUCUACAACAACACCUUUUGUAAUGAUGCAUAUUAACUAUUUAUAAUGUUUUCCUUUGCAACACAAGAAAGUUAAUCGACAAAGUUGUCACCUGCCAUUUAUGAUUUUGUAUGAUUGACAAUUUUACCUGGUCAGUAUUAUUGAUGUGGUAUACUCCUUAAAUAUUAAUAAAUAAAAUAACAAUUUUAUUAUAAGAGGAAAUUAGGAACUAAAUGAUAGUAAGUUUUCUCUUGAUUUUUUCAAGUUCUCCAAAUAAAAGUGAGCAUUUAUUUCUAAUAGUUGACAAGUUAUAUAAAAUUGGAUUGAGGGGUACUUUUAUUAUCUAAGUUAGUUCGUAAUUAGAAAAGAGUUAAAAGAUCAAAAAUACACCUAAACUAUUUAUCUACAUUAACAAAAUAUAGAGAAAUGGCUAAAGCAAUUAAGCAUUAAAAUAACUGAAAUGUGGUUCGAAAUGAAAAUUGUAGCAGUUAUAAAUUAUAAUACUACUAAACAUAUUCGUCAAAUAUAGAACAUUUUAUAUAAAACUUAAACUCUUGAUAUAUAAUAGAGUAAAUCAUUUUAAAAUAGGUUGUUGAAAAGUAAACAAAGUACGAAUAAUAAAAAAUAUUGAAGUGUUAUUUUCUUUUUUGCGAGUUUCAUAUCUAAAUUAUGUGUUUGCUGCUUUGCGUUUAUUAUUUGAUCUACCACGAAUUAUUUAUAAAAUUCAAAACACACAUUGAAUUAGUUGACUACACCAAGUGUUUGAAUACAACCGUCAAAAGAUGAGUGACAAAGUAAUAAUUUGCUCAUCAAAUUUCGUCCUCAUGACAACUAUCGCAUAAAUUUUGAGACAUAUUUUGAUAAAUAAUUCAAAUAAACAAUAAUCCAAGGGUUUGAAUAUAAUGAUCAAAAGGUACGCGACAAUUAAAUUUGUCCAUAAAAUUUCAUCCACAUAAUAAUUGACUCAUUAAUUCAAUGCUUAUUAAUAAAUAAUAAAAAAUAAUUCAGAUAGAAAACUAAAAAAAAAAAAAUAUACUUCAAAUAUGUUUUUGCUCCUAAUUUUUAGAAAUUGGGACCUAGUUAUAUUUAGCUAGAGAGCUACUAUUACCCAACUAAUCCAUUGGAAAAAAAUUGGGACUCAAUAAUUGUGUUUCUAAUAAAGCUUUGAUCUUGACUAUGGAAGUCUUCUUAUGAAAGAAUAGAAUAUUAUAAAAAGAAAAGGUUGAAAAUUAGUGCUCUAAAACAAUAUGAUAAGGUUGUUCCAUAUUUUAGGUGAAAAAUGGACCCCCAGUCCCCAGAUAUUUCAGAAAAGAAUGUUUAUGAAGACUUAAACCUAAUUUUAAAUAUAAAAAUUCAACUAGGUCAGUCAACAAACGUUUUUUUUUUCGUCAACUUAUUAUAUAUUCCCUUCGUUUAAAAACGAAGUACCUACUUUGAUUUGACAUAAAAUUUAAAAAAAAUAAAUAAAAUUUUUAAAUUUUAUGAUCUUAAAUUAAAGUAGUGUCAAAUGUACUAAAAUAUCUUUUAAUCUUGUGGUCAUAAACAUAAUUGAAAUUAAAGUAUUGUCAAAAAAGGAAAGAGGUCAUUUUUUUGAAACGAACUAAAAAGGAAAGUAAGUUAUUCUUUUUGAAACGGAGGGAGUAGUAUAUAAUCUCUUAUGAAUGAGUAUUUAUUUAUGCUGAAUCAGUUUAGUUCAUUUAAAAUAAUUUUUAAAAUUGUUAAAAUACUGUUCGUUUAAAGUUUUUUGAAAGUAAAACUUUUUGCUUUAACUCUAUGAUCCAUAUAUCUACUCUAACCCCCAAUAACCCAAACUAUUUUUAUAUUUGUAGUGUUAAAUUAAAGUGUAUAGUCCAGGAGAAACUGAGCAGUUGUCAUGUGACUAAAGGUUAUAGGUUCAAAUCAGGGAAAUAACGAUUUGUAAAAAUAUUUGGUGAGACUAGGCCUAUGCAUUUUUCGGUACAAACCGUUAACUCGAAUUGUUAAUUUGCUUAUCGGGUCAAUGGGUCGGUUAUUUUGAAUAUCGGGUUGAUAAUUUCUGCUAUUGGUUUAUCGGUUCGAGCCACCCGAUAAAAUGAUUGGUGCUGGGCUGUACUAGUGGCCUGUUAAUCCACCUAAAAUUCUAAUGCGGCCCGUACUCCACCCAUACCCACUGGCCCAAGUCCAAUUAUUACACCUCUCACUCUCUCUGUCACUACUCGCUACUCACAUCUCUCUCAGUCAGAAAAAAGUUGUUGUUGCUGACAAGAUCGAACUUCGAAUUGAGCCGAAAAUUCGACUUAGAGUCUAUUCGCUACUCACAUCUUCGAUCGAAAAUUGAAGGUCAAAAAAUUUCAGGUAACCCUUUUUCUCCAUAUCAUUUGCAUGUUCAAUUUCUGUUGUUGUUGAUAGUAUUCUACUUCAUCUUCACUUUAUUGUAUUAAGCCAUUAAUGGUGUUGAAAUAGCUCAACAAAACCAUAUUCUGACACCCCCCCCAUUAUAGUUCAGUUCUUGUUUUGCUUAAAGAUUUGAAUCUUUUCUUGUUUUUGGGUAGUGGGGUGUUGGAGAACUAGAGGAAAGAAUUGAUUUUGAUGGUGCUUCACUAACACUCUCUCCAAAUUCAGUUCUUUUCUUGAUACAGUGGCACAGGGCUGCCCUUUAUGUUAUUGUUUGGUACAAUGGCAUUUUUUUUCCUUUUAGUUAUACUUUUGUAUAAAGUGUUCGAUACUAAAAUCUUGUUAAAUGGUUUGUGUACUUCUAUGAAAGAAGCCAUAAUAUGCAGAAUUGGGCGGUUGUACCCGUUGUUGCAUUAUUGGAAAGUUUAGUUCUUUCUUUGCUUAAAGUUUGAAUCUUUUCUUGUUUUUGGGUAGUGGGGUGUGAGAGCAGAAGAACACGGAAAGAAUUUUGUUUGAGUCCCCCCCCCCCCUUGUUCUUUCUUUGCUUAAUGUUUGGAUCUUUGCUUGUUUUUGGAUAGUGGGUGUGAGAGAAGUAGAGGAAAGAAUUGAUAAUGUUAUUCAUUGUGUAUGUGUUAUUUGUGGUGCUCGUCGAAUUUGAUUAGUUAUUUGUGAUAUGCAAUUUUUUUUUUUCACUCCUCAACAAGUUAUGAUCGUGGACUGUAUUAGCCUACUUUAUUUCCCUCAAAGGCUCAAAUCCAACUAAAUUCUCUCACUACCCAGUAGGAAACAGUCAUGCAUUCCUUGUUUUCUGUUAACUUUUUUCUCUUUUUGGUAGCUACUAGUAGAACACUAAUUAUUUUGGACUUGCUCAUGCAUGGUAUGCAGCAAUUAAAUUCUGAAGCUAGCAGGAUAAAAAGACAUGGGUGAUCAGUACUGGUCACUAUUAGGUCCCCUCAUAUUUGAAUUUUUCUUUAGCCUUUUUGAUCAUUACUAAUAAAAAUGUUCAAUUUUAGUUACUGCAAUCUUAUAUCAUUGCCUCCCACAUGACUAUAUUUGCAGUAUGUAUGUACACUUGGUUUUUCAUUGCAUACUAGAACUUUUACUGUCAUUGCUGAGUUAAUGUAUAGCAAUUAUUGCUAGGUUUAUUUCUUUUAUUUAUCUUAUCCUAAGCAGUAGGCAGUGAGAACUAAGCAGCAAGCACUUAGCCUGGCAGUCCGAAGUAGCUUGCUUACUAGCUUUAGACUUUAAAUUAUAUAUGUUCAAUGUUAAUGGUUAACCCGAUAUUCGAACCGAUAACAAUGAAAAAUCAAUAAACCGAUAACCGAUUAACCGAUAUCUUAACGGUUCUUUAACGAUUUUGCAUGUAUACAAACCCUGAUAUGCAGCCCUAGGUGAGACUAUGUAUAAUACAUUCUUGUGAUCUUACUCUUUCGCAGGCCUCUUGCAUAUAGUUGAAAUUUGGCUUAAGUCAUCGAUAGACCCUCAAACUUGUCCCAAAAAUUCAGUUAGACCCCUCAACUAAGGUUUGUACCUAUUAGACCCCUAAUCCACCCGAAUUUUGAUCCAAUUGGACCCUUUUUUUCCAAUCAGCUUAAAGCCAAAGUGUGUGCAACACACAUGCGAUGAUGUGACAAACCCAUAACCUGAAGAUCACAUGAAAAUAACUUUACUAGUUACUCUAACGCUUCCGAGACACUUUUGUAAUAUGCAGAUAGGUCCAAAAAAUAAAGGAAAAACAACAUAGAAAUCCAAGCUUAAUCAUCUUGCGCUGCAGGUAACUAAACAAUCUCAGAAGUUUUGUCCUGAGGCUAUAGUAUUUCUUCAAACUUUGCUGAUGGCAGCUUUAGACAGGGAACAGCGAUUUGAAAAUUUACAGGUUUGGCUUUACUUCAGUGUUUGAGCCGAGGGUCUAUUGGAAACAACCUCUCUACCUCUAUAUUCGGGUUGCUUCCUUCCACUUGUAAAUUGAAAGUCAUAUUCUCGUGCUGCAGUUGAAUGACCUUAUGGAGAUCAAAGAACUUGGGCCUUUGCUUUGCAUAUGCAGUAGCAAUGCGGAGAUGGGUUCUUUAGAUUCUCUUGAGCUAAUGGACUUACCAGAGGACUCGCAUUAUUUUGACUCUGAUAAUUACAGGUCAGUUAGUAGCAUUCUAGUGACAUAGGCAAAUCUAUUUGAGGAAUCUCAAAAGUUCGUUAAAUCUUUGAAUAUGGCUCUAUGUUAAGAUACACUUGAGACAAAUUAUAAAUAUGUUCGAUAAGUUUUUUACCUAGGUCUAAUUCAAGAUGUGGUCUGUUAAACUUUUAGUUUCCUAAUAAUACUAUUGUCAAUCACCUAGUUGACAUAACAAGUAUAUUGCUCUCUCUCUAAAAUUUUUAUAGGCCUGGAAAUUCUGCUGCAAUUUUUUUUUUCCAGGACUUGUUGAACUUGAUGAGAUUAAAUGUUUUCUCAUGCAGGGCUAGCAUCCUCGUAACAGUUCUGGAAACCCUGCAAGGAUUUGUUAAUGUAUAUAAGGACCUUAUUUCUUUUCCUGAGAUUUUCAUGCUAAUUUCAAAAUUAUUAUGCAAAUUGUCCGGAGAAAAUCAUAUUCCAGGUGCAUUAAGGGAGAAAAUCAAGGAUGUAUCCCAAUUAAUUGACACAAAGUCUCAGGAACAUCACAUGUUGCGUUAACCUUUGAAAAUGCGUAAGAAAAAACCUGUGUCCAUCAGGAUGCUUAAUCCGAAAUUCGAGGAGAAGUAAGAUACUCUUCUUAUUGCCUUAUCUUUAAUCAAAAGAAUCAUAUUGCUCGUUUCCUGUCGAGCUUUACUCAUCUGGUGAUCAUAUACAUCUGCAGCUAUGUCAAGGGUAGAGAUUAUGAUCCAGAUCGUGAGCGUGCUGAAAAGAAAAAGUUGAAAAAACGUAUAAAAGAGGAAGCUAAAGGUGUUGCAUGAGAAUUGCGGAAGGACAAAGAUUUCUUGGCCAAGGCAAAGGAAAGGGAAAAGGCCCUACUGGCCGAAGAGAAGGCUGAGAAAUAUGAGAAAGCUCUUGCCUUUCUUCAAGAAAGGAGCAUGCAUUUAAAUCAGGGCAAUUGGGAAAGGGCCGGAGAGAAGAAGAUGAAAUUAGCUUUUGGUUUUUACUUGAAAAUCUUAUCUCUAAAGCUUCUCGUCUUUUGGUAAGGUUUGUUCUUUAUUUUGCAUUGACAGUGAAUAUAUAAGUACUCCGUCUACUAUACUACAAAUAGAUAUCACUUCACUGUCAACAUCCAAUAGAUAUCCCUACUACUAGAGUGACCCAUUUUAAUGCUUGUUUUUUUUCUACCAGCGUUUCUUUGCUUCACACUUAUAUGUCCUUUGUUCGCUCCCUCUCUUGCUUGGCAUGGUCUCAACAUAUUAGUGUGUUCUUUAUUUAAUAUUGGAGCUAAAUGUGGGCAAUGUUUAUAUAAAUACUAAUGAACACACCAUAAUGCUACAUAUCAGUAUUAAAAGUGUUAUUGAUACAAAAUAUUGAAACUCUUCUCCUUUAUUGUUCCUAGGAAUGGAAGACGCUGAAUGCUGGAGGUACAGAGGAUUGAAUGAGCAAUCGCAUUGUUUCGGUGAUGGUUACAACACGUGCGUCCAUCUUUCCCGUCCAACUGUGCCACCGUGUUUCCUCUGCACCUGGUGAAGCGUUAGAGCUCAUCGAAUUUUGUCUCAUGUCUUCUAGCAGAAGAUCAGUUUGUCCAACACUAUCUGCAAAUUUAAUGUCUCGAGUUGUAAAAAAGGAAUAACUAUGUUCCUCGAACCUAAUGUGCAUGGUUACUUGUCUUUUGUUGUAUUUGUAGUUUUACAUCUAACUGAAUAGAGUUAAAUUCGUUAUAGUAUUAGAAGUCAUUUAUGUUAUAGUUCGGUUAUACCCUACGAUUGGAUGCAGAGAAGAGAGUUUACAAUCCCAAAGGGGCUAUAGUUUCCUUUUCAAACCUGUUUUGGAAUGUUACUUGUUUUUAUAGACCCUCUACUCGAAAUAACAAAAGUGGAAAUGUCAUAAAUAUUUUAUAAAGCAAUUUGAAGAAAAGGAACAAUAUCCAAUUCCCACUUUGUGGAUUUCAUUGGGUGUGCUGUUGUUGAAGAAAAGUGACAAUAACUAGUACAAAAUAAGACAACUACAAUAAUAACAUAUUCGGUGUAUUUUUAUAAAGCAGGAUUUGAGGAGGAUAAAGUAUACGCAAAUAGAUUUCGGUUCAGGACAAACAACAAUAUAUCAAGCAAAAACAUAAAAACAAACAACCAAUAGGUCACGUACCAUUAGAUAACAAAAGAAAUAAAACACCCGCAGAGUGACACUAUGGACUAUCUAUUCGAAAAUCAAAAACAUCACCAAAACACCACGGAUAAGAAACUACAAGACAGCAUAACACUAUGGCUACAAAUAUAUCUACAAAUAAAAUACUCCUCCCUACUAGUAAGAACGCAUGCCUACCCACUAACUUUCUAUCCUAAUUCGCGUCCUCCACACCUUUCAAUCAAGGGUCAUGUCCUCCGUAAGCUAUAACUGCUUCAUGUCAUGCCUAAUCACUUUCCUCCAAUAUUUCUUCGGCCUACCUCUACCCUGUUUGAAAUUAUUCAUAGCCAACCUCUUACACCUCCAUAUUGGGGCUUUCGUGCACCUCUUCAUCAUAUGUCCAAACCAUCUUAAUCUAACUUUCGGUGACUUGUCUUUUCUCGAAGCUACUCCCACCUUCUCUCAAAUAAUCUCAUAUCGAAUCCUAUCCUUCCUAGUAAGUCCACACAUCCAUCUCAACAUCUUCAUCUUCGCCAUCUUCAAUUUUGGAUGUGGGAGUUCUUAACUGGCCAACACUCCGCUCCAUACAACAUAGUCGGUCUGACUAACACUCUGUAGAAUUUACCUUUAAGCUUACAAGGAACCUUUUUAUCACACAAGACUCUCGAAGCGAGCCUCUAUUUCAAUCACCGUGUACCAAUACAGUACGUGACAUCCUUUUCAAUCUCUCCAUUCCCAUGAAUUAUAGAUCCAAGAUACUUGAAACUGUCUUUCUUUUGAAUGGCCUGAGAAUCCAACUCCACUGCCAUGUUCGUCUCAUGCGUCAAAUUACUGAACUUACACUCAAAGUACUCCACCUUGGUCCUGCUCAACAUAAACCCUUUAGACUCCAGGGUAUGUAUUCAAACCUCCAACUUAUCAUUAAAUCCUUCUUGGAUCUCGUCAAUAAGCACUACAUCAUCAACAAAUAACAUACAACAAGACACUUCUCUUUGAAUAUGCCGCGUUAAUAUGUCCAUCACCAAGGCCAAUAAAAACGGUUUAAGAGUUGGUCCCUAAUGCAACCCUGUCAAAAUAGAAAAGUGCUCCGAAUCUCCUCCUGCCGUCCUCACACGAGUCUUUGCUUCGUCGAACAUGUCCUAAAUCGACUUAGGAUACGCCACCGACACAUCUCUUGCCUCCGGGAACCUCCACAAAACCUUUCUGGAGACUUUGUGGUACACCUUCUUAAGAUCGAUUAACACCAGGUGCAAGCCCUUCUUCUUCUCCCUAUACUGCUCUACUAAUCUUCUCAUGAGAUGAAUGGCCUCGGUAAUCGAGCGACCUGACAUGAAAUCAAACUGAUUCUCAAAAUAGUCAUGAUCCUCCUCAGCCUCAAUUUACCAUUCUUUAUCAAACCUUCAUGAUAUAACUCAAUAACUUGAUACCCCUACAGUUGUUACAACUCUAAAUGUCCCCCUUGUUCUUAUAUAAUGAAAUCAUCGUGCUUUCGACAUCUCCACCAUUCUAAAAAUAAUGUUAAACAACAUUGUCAGCCACUUCAUACCUGUCAAUUCAGUGCUAGCUCUUUAAAAAAUUCACUGAAAUUUGUCUGCUCCAGUCGCCCUACUCCUACGCAUCCUACGAAUAACACCCUUGACCUCCUCAGCCUUAAUACGUCCAUAACAAUCAUAAUCGCGACACCUUCCUCAGUGCUCCAAGUUCCCCAACACUAAACCGCUGUCCCCCCGUCAUUUAAAAGUUAAUGAAAAUAAGACCGUCACCUCGUCCUAAUGAAGGCGUCAUCCACUAACACUUUGCAAUCCUCUUCCUUGAUGCAUUUCACUUGGUCAAGGUCACGAGCCCUCCUUUGCCUAGCCUUUACAAUCCUAUAUAACUUCUUAUCCCCGUGUUUCUCCUCUAAAACUGCAUAUAAGCCCUCGAAAGCCGUUUCUUGGUAACCGUUAACUUGGCCUCUUUCCUGACUAACUUAUACUCUUUCCUAUUCAUCCGCUUCUCAUCGUCAUCCUUGCUCUCCACCAACUUCGCAUAAGCUACUGUCUUAGUCUCCAACUUCCUUUUAACUUCUUUGUUUCACCACCAGUCCCCCGAUGUUUACUAGAUCGGCCUCUCGAGAAACCCAAUACCUCUCUACCAGUCUCCCUGAUACAACCGACAGUCAUCUCCCACAUACUAUCCAUGCACAUCCCCUCUACUUUUCUAAUUUCCUAUAGUCGUCAGCUUCUCUUCUAUCUCCAAGGCGCUGGUCAAAGUUAAUCUACCCCACUUAGUCCUGGGUCGAUCCUCCACACCCCUAUUUGUUCCUACCCUUCUUGAUCAUUUCCAAGUCCAUCACCAGAAACUUAAGUUGGGUCAAAAGAUUCUCGCUAGGUAUGACCUUAGAGUCUUUACAUAGUGCUCUUUCACCCUUCCUGAGGAGCAAAGAGUUUAUCUGAAUUUUGAUCCCCAAACUACGAAAAGUAAGAAGGUGCUCCUCCUUCUUCGAGAAGCUUGAAUUCGCUACCACCACUCCACAGGCCCUAGCAAAAUUCAAAAAUGAGGCUCCUCUGUCAUUCUUUUUUCCGAAAUCGAACUCUCCAUACACAACAUCAUAGCCUCUCGACAAUGACCGAUAUGCCCAUUGAAAUCACUUCCUACGAAAAGCUUUUCAUUGCUCGAAACACCUUUCACCACGUGCAAGUACACCAAAAUCUUGUUUGACCCGAUCCCACUAUCCCUAUGCAUCCUACGAAUAGUACAAAAUAAAACAAUAACCGAAAUUUAAGAAACACAUACUAACAAAAACCGGAGGAUAAGAAAUUACAUAAGUAGUACUACCGAGUACAAAACUACAAAUACAAAAGGAUAAACGUAAGAACGCUCUUACUUAGUAUUAAUUUAUAGGAGAAAAUUGGAUUCAUUCAUCCACUAACUUUAGCUAAAUAAUUGUGUUUCUAAAAAUCUUUUAUGUAGAUCAUGAAAGUCUUCUUAUGAAAUAAUAAUAGAAUAUUAUGCUCUAAACCAAUAGUUAAAGGUUUUGUUCUACCAAGUUUAGGUGGAAGAUGGACCCCAAAUAUUUCACAACUGGUGAAAAGAAACACAGCUCCAGAUUAAAAUAGCAGUCAAAGUAGAAAGAAUUGUACCAAAAAAAUAAUAAAAAUAGUGAAGUAGGAAGAAUUAGAAAAAUAAAGAUAGAACGAAGGUGAAUAUUCAUAAGCAAAAAUCUUGUUUUUUUUUUUUUUUUUUUUUUUUUUUUUUUUUUUUUUUUAAUUUUUAUUUUGAGUUUUAAUUGGGUCAGAAGGGGAAUCCUCAUUGAAAAGAUAAAAAUUCAGAUAGUCAACGAACUGAGCUACUUAAAUUUUUCAUAAAAAUAUAAUUAUUUAUUUUUAAGAAAAAAGUCUUCAUAUCAAACACACCCAUAAUAUGUUAUGAACCAAUUAUCCCACAUUGGAAAAAUAGAGAAAUGCUAAGAGGUUUAUAGGCCAAAUGUAUUUUCCCACCUAUCAAGCUAGUCUUUUGAGUUGGGCUCUCCUGUUUGAUUUAUAACAUAAUACCUAGAACUUCUUCAUUAUAGCUAUCACAAUGGGGAAUUCUCCUUAACUUAUUCAAUUAAAACUAAACUUCAAAUAAAGACCAAGACCUUAAAAGUUAAAAGUCUAGUUGAAGCACAGUGAAGUGUUCAGCAAAUUUGUUUGGGUGGGUGCUUUGGUGAUUUACCGGUCGCUUAGUAGCUGAUUACAAUUAUUAUGUAGGUAUUAGCUAUAGAUAUAAUAAUUCUAACCAUCAUUACCGCAAGCUAUAAAUUUAAUUGUGCUUUUAAACUAAAAAUGUAUAAAUGCAUUCAAAUAUCCUUUGCAUCUUAUAAUCUUAUACCUAUCACAUGAAAUAUCGAAACUAAAAGUGCACUAAUAAAAAUAGACAUUGGCAUUUUUCUUUUAAUAAAUUAACAAAAAAAGAAAACACAUAAAUUGAAACUAAAAUAUAUAGUACUAGUAUAUCAUAAUUCAUAUGCAUUCAUAUUGCACUUUUAACUUUUAAAAAAAAAGUAUAAGACAAAAGUAACUAGUGGGUAUGGAAUCUCUCUUCUUUAACAAAACCAUUUGCCUUAGUCACUACAUAAAAAAGAGAGGAUGUUGCUUUAAUGACAAUGCUCCAAGGUUGUUUGAUUAAAUUGGGGUGAAAUCUUAUAUAUAGAGACUUUAUUACAAAUAAUCUUUUGCUUUGUAUUGAGAGAAAAUAUUAGCACUUCCACCAUUUCAAUUUACUUGACAUUCAUUUAAUAAUAUUUAUUAAAGAUUUAUUUUGUUAAAUUUAUUAAUUAUGUUCUAGAAAUUAAAUCUGACUAUUUAUAUUUUAUAUAGUGAUUCAAUAAUAAAAAGGGUAUUAAAAUAAAAUGAUAAAUUUCUCUCGGUUCAAUAAUUCAGAUAAGUAAACUAAAACAACUAAACUCCAAGUAAAUUGAAACUGAAGUAAUAUUAUUUUUAUGUACGAAAAAGAGAAAAAAAUAAAGAACAUGAUUGCACCUAUGAUGUUGCUUUAAUGACAAUGCUCCUAGGUUAUUUUUAAUUAAAAAGUUGGGUCCCAUUUUUCUAUUAGAAAAGAGUACUAGCUAUCACUACUAAAGAAGAGAUGGGAAUAGAAUGUGAAAUCCUUGGAAAAAAAUAAAAUAGACAAGAAUCCUACUAAGAGAAAAAAAGAAGAAGUAGUGAUGGUGGACGUGAUGAGCUUUGUGUUGGAGAAAUUGAAGGAAGCCAUACUAAUGAUGUUCAAUUUUGGUGGUCAUGUGUUUAUGAUGUUGAUAAAUUUUGUAGGGCAAUUGCUAAUGAAACCCAUACAUUUUUUUGGCAAGGGCUAGUAUUGCUCAAAAAUUUUAGUUGGAAAGUACUACUAUAGGUGCAAAGUUUUUUUUGACAAGAACUAGCUUCGCUCAAAAAUUUAGGCUGGAAAGUGCUACUAUUGGUGCAAAAUUUUUUUUGGACAAUUUCUAAUAAAACCCAUAAAUUUUUUCGGGCAAUGGCUAGUUUCACUAAAAAAUUUAGGUUGGAAAGUGCUACUAUCGAUACAAAAUUUUUUUGGGCAAGGACUAGUGUCACUCAAAAAUUUCGGUUGGUAAGUGCUAAUAAAUUUGCAAAACUUUUUUGGACAAGGACUAGCAUCGCUCAAGAAUUUUGGUUGGCAAGUGCUACUAUCGUUGCGAAAUUUUUUUGGACAAGUGCCACUGACGCUCAAGAAUUUAGGUUUGCGAGUGCUAGUGAAACUGAAAAACAUUGGUCGGCAAGUACUAGUGACGCUGAAAAGAUUUAGUGUGCAAGCGUUAGUAGUGCUUGACAAUUUUACUUGGCAAGUGAAGAAUUUAUGUGGAAAGCUUAUGAGUUGGUUUGACGAGGUGUUUCCACCAGAGACAAGAGUAGAGAAGAUCAAGUACUAGUUUCACUUAGCUUUACCUUAUCUCAUCAUCGCGUUGUUUCUAGCUCUCUUGAUAUGUUGCUGCUACUUCUAUGGUGGAUUACUGAUCAGCGUGAUGAGUUUUCUCAAAAGUAUGUGUGUUGGAGUAAUGAAACUUCUCAAAACAGUGUGUGUUGGAUUGGUGAAUUUUCUCAGAAGCGUAUGCGUUAUGCCUAUCAUGAGGCUUCUCAAAAGCGUGUGUGUUACACUGAUGAGGCUUUGCGUAAGACUGAUAGCCCUUAUCGAAAGAGUNNNNNNNNNNNNNNNNNNNNNAGAAUGUGUGUUAGAUUGAUAGGUCUUGUCUAAAGAGUGUGUGUUAAGACUAGUAGCCCUUAUCGAAAGAGUAUGUGUUGGACUGAUGAACACUCUCAAAAGAGUCUGCGUGAUGCUGAUGAAUUAUCUCAAAAGAGUGAGUAUGACGCUGAUGAGUUAUCUCAAGAGCGUGUACGUUAGACACAUUGAGAUUCUAAAAUUUCUCUUCCCAUGUUGCUGGCGAAGCGAUAACAAGAUGAUGAAAGCUCCAGGGAGAAACAUUAGGAUUCUAAGAUCUAGUGUCACACCCCCAAAUUCCAUCGGGCCGGACUGGCACCCGAAACCGAGAAAGCCCGGGAGAACCCGUUCAGAUACCUGUACUUUCACUUACAUGUCACCAAAAAUUUGGACAGCACUUCGUUGCAUAUAGAAGGGUCUAAUUACCUGUAUCAGCACAACACACACAAAUAUAUAUAUAUAUAUAAUACUUGGCCGUCGGGGCCACCACAUAUACAAAUAUAACAUCACUAUAUAAACUUCCAUGAAUUUACCCUUCCUUAUGUCUACAAAGCCUCUAGGAUAUACAUGACAUAACUAGGGUCGGGAAAAACCCCCGCCCUCACAUGACCCCUGUACAAUAACAAAACAUAACUGCCCAACUCGGAAAGCUCCGAAGCAAACUGAAGCUCACCAACAAUAGCUGUAUGACCUGGCUCCUAUCUAUGCUGUGAAUGAGCUGAAGCACCUGUGCCUGCAGCAUGAAAUGCAAGUCCCCCGUGAGGGACAUCAGUACGAAAUAUGUNNNNNNNNNNNNNNNNNNNNNNNNNNNNNNNNNNNNNNNNNNNNNNNNNNNNNNNNNNNNNNNNNNNNNNNNNNNNNNNNNNNNNNNNNNNNNNNNNNNNNNNNNNNNNNNNNNNNNNNNNNNNNNNNNNNNNNNNNNNNNNNNNNNNNNNNNNNNNNNNNNNNNNNNNNNNNNNNNNNNNNNNNNNNNNNNNNNNNNNNNNNNNNNNNNNNNNNNNNNNNNNNNNNNNNNNNNNNNNNNNNNNNNNNNNNNNNNNNNNNNNNNNNNNNNNNNNNNNNNNNNNNNNNNNNNNNNNNNNNNNNNNNNNNNNNNNNNNNNNNNNNNNNNNNNNNNNNNNNNNNNNNNNNNNNNNNNNNNNNNNNNNNNNNNNNNNNNNNNNNNNNNNNNNNNNNNNNNNNNNNNNNNNNNNNNNNNNNNNNNNNNNNNNNNNNNNNNNNNNNNNNNNNNNNNNNNNNNNNNNNNNNNNNNNNNNNNNNNNNNNNNNNNNNNNNNNNNNNNNNNNNNNNNNNNNNNNNNNNNNNNNNNNNNNNNNNNNNNNNNNNNNNNNNNNNNNNNNNNNNNNNNNNNNNNNNNNNNNNNNNNNNNNNNNNNNNNNNNNNNNNNNNNNNNNNNNNNNNNNNNNNNNNNNNNNNNNNNNNNNNNNNNNNNNNNNNNNNNNNNNNNNNNNNNNNNNNNNNNNNNNNNNNNNNNNNNNNNNNNNNNNNNNNNNNNNNNNNNNNNNNNNNNNNNNNNNNNNNNNNNNNNNNNNNNNNNNNNNNNNNNNNNNNNNNNNNNNNNNNNNNNNNNNNNNNNNNNNNNNNNNNNNNNNNNNNNNNNNNNNNNNNNNNNNNNNNNNNNNNNNNNNNNNNNNNNNNNNNNNNNNNNNNNNNNNNNNNNNNNNNNNNNNNNNNNNNNNNNNNNNNNNNNNNNNNNNNNNNNNNNNNNNNNNNNNNNNNNNNNNNNNNNNNNNNNNNNNNNNNNNNNNNNNNNNNNNNNNNNNNNNNNNNNNNNNNNNNNNNNNNNNNNNNNNNNNNNNNNNNNNNNNNNNNNNNNNNNNNNNNNNNNNNNNNNNNNNNNNNNNNNNNNNNNNNNNNNNNNNNNNNNNNNNNNNNNNNNNNNNNNNNNNNNNNNNNNNNNNNNNNNNNNNNNNNNNNNNNNNNNNNNNNNNNNNNNNNNNNNNNNNNNNNNNNNNNNNNNNNNNNNNNNNNNNNNNNNNNNNNNNNNNNNNNNNNNNNNNNNNNNNNNNNNNNNNNNNNNNNNNNNNNNNNNNNNNNNNNNNNNNNNNNNNNNNNNNNNNNNNNNNNNNNNNNNNNNNNNNNNNNNNNNNNNNNNNNNNNNNNNNNNNNNNNNNNNNNNNNNNNNNNNNNNNNNNNNNNNNNNNNNNNNNNNNNNNNNNNNNNNNNNNNNNNNNNNNNNNNNNNNNNNNNNNNNNNNNNNNNNNNNNNNNNNNNNNNNNNNNNNNNNNNNNNNNNNNNNNNNNNNNNNNNNNNNNNNNNNNNNNNNNNNNNNNNNNNNNNNNNNNNNNNNNNNNNNNNNNNNNNNNNNNNNNNNNNNNNNNNNNNNNNNNAUUAGAAAGAAGACUCUCAGGGCUUCUCAUCGAUAUAUAGCAGCUCACACAGUUCAUUUUUUACAAGGAUUUAUGAUCGUUUAAAGUCAACCCAAAAAUCUGUUUGGCUGCAGUACUUUUGUGUGCAGAAAAUUUCUGCACAUUUACUGUUCAUUGCGUCCACCGUUUUCAAGUUUCGAACAUGCUCGCUUAUAUCUGAUACUCAUCUGUUUUCAAAAAUCUUUAUAUCGUUGGAAAGCUAACUCGAUAAAAUUCGGAUAGGAACUUCGACGAGCAAAUUUCGGUAUAAAUAAAGUCGAUUCCUAUACACAUAUAAUCAAACUAUACAGUUGAAACCAUCUCAAAAUAAUCAAUACUCAUACUUAAACUCAUAUAUACCUAACUUAUGGUCAAUACAUAUACUCCAACACAUAUAACCAUGGCUAAUGCACGUAAUUAAGUACUGGGUGUUACAUCUAGUUUUGAGAAAAAUCCCAGAUUAUACUUCUCUAUUCUUCGUGCUUAUCCCGGUGACAUGCUUGUUGGGUUCUUAGUAUAUGAAAGAAGUGUGAAUGGAAAAUGAAGAAUAAAAUGGUGGAGGGGAAGGAGACACUAAAAUGGAAGGUGUACUCUCAAAUUAGAAAGUUUACUCUUUCUCCCACAUUGGUGGAAGAAGAGAACUUGAAAGUGUUUAUAAUCAAGAACACUUACUCCACAUGGCAAGUGAGGCAAGAAAUAAUAGAUGCCUCACGUCAUCAUCGUCGUCGCUCGCUAGGCUUCGUCUUUGGCUUCGGCUGCGGAUGAUCGAUCGAUGAGAUCUGUCUUUUUGGACAAACUUUAUUUGAAUUUCAAAGAAUGCCAAGGAAAAAUGCAGUAAAAAAAUUUCUGUAGAUUCAGACCUCCAUUUAUAUAUACAUGCAAUAACAAUUGCACUGUUUCAAGUGAAUUGAUGCAUUAUUUUUGAACUAGUGCUUUAGAAAUGAUACAUUGUUCUAAACUAAGGCUACAUAAGGUUGCAAUAGUUCAAAAUGAUGCUUCAGAAGGAUGUAAUCCUUCAAUGAACUGAUACACUGAUUCAUGAAAUGAGAUGACUGUUCAGGAAAAGAUGCAAUCUUUGAUGAACAAACAUGAACUUACAACAAAGGUGUAACCUUUGGAGUGAACCAUUGCCUCUUUUCAGAAGAGGCAUGUUGUGGCUAUAUAAACCUGGUUUCUUCCCCAGGUUUAGUACGAAAAUUUUCAGAUUAAAAAACUCUCUUCUUGUCUUAAAAAAAUAUUUUGUGUUAUCACUCAAAAUGUUUUGUGAGUUCGAAGAUAUUCCAACCGUUUGAGGUACCACUACUGUUGGUCUAUUAGCCAUUUUAUCCUGGAAGAAAAAAUUUUACAACCUCGGGUACAAAGAGGGGGAUUAUUUCCUUAAGGAAAAUUCGUGAAUUCGGACGACUUGGCUAUUUUCCGUUUCAUCUUAAUUUCUGCAAAAUAAAAUACACCUCUUGGAAAGGUCAUUUUGAUCUUGUGUUGAGGGUAUUUGAUAUACUUCAUUGUAUUCUUGUUUAUACUUGAACUCAAGUUGAAGUUGGUGUUGUAAUAUACAGAUUCUGUGUACCCGAAGUACAAAUGAUAGAUAACAAUCUUAAGAAAAUAAUAAUUUUACAGAAUCUGUAUAACUUGUUUUUGGAUAUUAAAGCUUUAAGCUUUCUACUCCGCUUGAAUUUAACUAGUGAUUAGAAGAAAUAAAAUCUUCAUCACAAGUUAAAGUUCACUCGGUUGACGAUUUGAAGUUAUAAAAACUUCAUCGUUAAUUAGAAACAAGAAGAAAAGUUGAAAAGUUAUUUAACUUUAUAAGUAGUAUUCUGAAAAUACUAAAUUUUUUUGUCUUGUGUUGACAGGAAGAUGACUAACGAAAGUCAAAUGAUAGAUGCGACAACGUCUGUGGGGGAAACUAAUAUUGCCACAUCAAGUCGCACAAAUGCUCCGCCAACGAUGGCACCGGCGGAGAAUUUCAAAAAAAUUUCGGGCAUUGACUUCAAUCAGUGGAAGCAAAAGAUGUUCGUUUACCUCACCACUUUAUGUCUGCAACGGUUCACUAGCGAAGACGCUCCUGAGGUACUCGAGGGAACCUCGGACAAAGACCGCUUCAUUAUUGUAGAAGUUUGGAAACAUUCGGACUUCCUUUACAGAAAUUAUAUUCUGAGUGGUCGGUCUCCAAGACGACCUCUACAAUGUUUAUAGUGGAACCAAGACAUCAAAGGAACUGUGGGGGCACUUGAACGAAAAUAUAAGAUGGAGGACGCGGGAAUUAAGAAAUUCCUUGUUACACCGUUUCUGGACUUCAAAAUGAUAAAUAGCAAAUCUGUUGUCUCUCAAGUACAGGAGUUGCAAGGCAUCAUACAUGAUCUCCUAGCAGAAGGUAAAUCUUUGAAAAAUAGCUUAGUUGAACAAAUUAAAAAUGUUCUUAAUACUUACAUAAACUAUUUUGUAGGUUUAAUUGUGAAUAACGCUUCCCAAGUAGCAACGAUAGUUGAGAAGCUACCACCUUUGUGAAAAGACUUCAAAAACUACUUAAAACAUAAACGCAAGGAGAUGACUGUUGAAGAUCUUAUUGUCCGACUUCGUAUUGAAGAGGAUAAUAAAGUUGUUGAAUGAAGGUCAAAGGGGAAUUCUACAAUGAAUGGAGCGCAUAUUGUAGAAGAUGACCAAAACAAUUCCAAGAAAAGGAAGAAAGCUGAACAAGGAAGCAAUCAACCCAAGAAAAAGUUCAAAGAAAAAUGCUUCAACUGUGGCAAGAUUGGCCACAAGUCCACAUAUUAUCGUGCCCCAAAGAAAGGCAAGAAGAAGGAUUAAGCAAAUAUGAUUGAAUCCAACAAAGAAUGCGAUGAUCUGUGUGCUAUGUUCUCAGAAUAGAACUUGACGGGGAAUCCUCACGAAUGGUGGAUGGAUUCUGGUGCCACCCGCCAUGUAUGUGCCAACAAGGAGUUGUUUUCGUCAUUUGUACCGACUCAAGCAGAAGAAAUGAUCUACAUGGCUAACUCCGCUACUGUUAAGGUGGACGAAAUAGGAAAAAAUUGCUUAAAGAUGACUUCCGGCAAGGUCUUGACACUGAACAAUGUAUUAUAUGUUUCGGAGUUAUGUAGGAACUUAAUUUCUGUUUCACUCCUAGAUAAGGACGGAUUCAAAUGUGUAAUCGUUUCUGAAAAAAUUGUAAUUAGCAAAGGAGAAAUGUAUGUAGGAAAAGACUAUCUGACCGAAGGCCUUUAUAAGAUGAAUGUAAUUACUGCUGAAAUAAAUAAAAGUUCGAAUUCUUCUUAUUUACUUGAGUCUUAUGAUUUAUGGCAUGAACGUUUAGGCCAUGUUAAUUACAAAACGUUACAAAAACUGAUUAACUUAAAAGUUUUGCCAAACUUUGAGUGCAAUAAAUCAAAGUGUCAAACGUGUGUGGAAUCGAAGUAUGCAAACCAUCCUUAUAAGUCCAUUGAAAGGAAUUCCAAUCCCUUAGACUUAAUAUACACUGACAUUUGUGAUAUGAAGUCAACACCAUCACGUGGUGAAAAAAAGUAUUUCAUAACUUUUAUUAACGAUUGCACUGGAUAUUGUUAUGUCUACUUGCUAAAUAGUAAGGAUGAAGCAAUUGAUGCGUUUAGGCAAUAUAAAACUGAAGUUGAAAAUCAAUUAGACAAAAAUAUCAAAAUGAUAAGAAGUGAUAGGGGUGGAGAAUAUGAAUCUCCCUUUGCGCAAAUAUGUGUAGAUAAUGGAAUAAUCCAUCAAACUACGGCCCCAUAUUCACCUCAAUCUAAUGGAAUUGCGGAAAGAAAAAAUCAAACUUUGAAGAAAAUGAUGAAUGCCUUACUUAUAAGUUCUGGUUUACCACAAAACUUAUGGGGGGAGGCUAUCCUAAUAUUUCAAAGUGUGGGGGUGUCUAGCGAAGGUGCAAGUUCCUAUACCUAAAAGGGUUAAGAUAGGACCUAAAAUGGUGGACUGCGUGUUCAUAGGAUAUGUUAAAAGUAGUAAAGCAUGUCGAUUUUUGGUCCAUAAAUCCAAACAUCCGGAUAUUAAUGAAAAUAUGAUAAUUGAAUCAGAUAAUGCUGAAUUCUUUGAAAAUAUUUACCCGUAUAAACUUACACAUGAACAGUCUAGUGGAGGAUCUAAACGAGUUCGAGAUGAACCAAGUGAGAAUGUACAUAAUGAAAAAAAUCUAAGACGUAGCACACGUCAAAGAACGUCAACUUCAUUUGGAUCGAAUUUUGUAACAUUUCUCUUAGAAAAUGAGCCUCAAAUAUUUAAAGAAGCGAUGUCGUCGUCAGACUAAUCCUUUUGGAAAAAGGCGGUUAAUAGUGAGAUAGAUUCAAUCUUAAGCAGCCAUACAUGGGAAUUGGUUGACCUUCCUCCCAAAAAUAAAUCGUUAGGUUCUAAAUGGAUCUUCAAACGGAAAAUGAAGGUGGAUGGUACUAUUGAAAAAUACAAGACAAGACUUGUAGUAAAAGGCUUCAAACAGAAGAAAGGCCUUGAUUACUUUGAUACAUACUCGCCAGUAACAAGGAUAACCUCGAUUCGAAUGUUAAUUGCCUUGGCGGCAGUAUAUGAUUUUCAAAUCCAUCAAAUGAAUGUGAAAACCGCUUUUCUAAAUGGAGAAUUAGAGGAACAAAUAUACAUGGAGCAACCUGAGGGUUUUGUGGUUCCAGGAAAAGAAAAUAAGGUGUGUAGACUUAUUAAGUCGUUGUAUGGACUAAAGCAAGCAUCUAAACAAUGGCAUGCGAAUUUUGACCAAACCAUGUUGGCAAACGGGUUCAAAAUAUAUGAAUGUGAUAAAUGUGUAUAUAUUAAAGACACUCCAAAUCACGAAGUCAUUGUUUGAUUAUAUGUGGAUGAUAUGUUGAUCAUCAGCAAAGAAAUUUCCGACAUAAAUGCAACAAAACGAAUGCUCGAGAGCAAGUUUGAUAUGAAAGACCUUGAAGUUGCAGAUGUGAUCUUAGGUAUAAGAAUCCAUCGAACUCCACAAGGGUUGGCAUUGUCACAGUCUCAUUAUAUCGAAAAGGUACUUGACAAGUUCAAGUAUAUGGAAUUCAGUAUUGCCAAGACUCUAUUGGAUGCGAGCUUUGCACUUCAAAAGAAUGAAGGUGAAAGUGACUCGCAAUUGGAGUACGCAAGAGUAUUGGGAUGUUUAAUGUAUAUAAUGAACUGUACACAACCAUACAUAGCAUGCGCUAUCAGUAAAUUGAGUCGGUACACGAGUAAUCCCAACAAAACUCAUUGGAUGGCAAUGAAAAGAGUUUUGGGGUAUCUUAAAUACACUCAAAACUAUGCUUUGCAUUAUAAUAAAUAUCCUGCGGUACUUGAAGGAUAUAGUGAUGCAAAUUGAAUCACCGGAUCAAACGAAGUAAAAAAUUCACAAGUGGAUAUGUAUUUACUAUCGGUGGAGGAGCAGUUUCUUGGAAAUCAUCCAAACAGACUUGUAUUGCUCGCUCUACAAUGAAAUCUGAAUAUAUCACAUUAGAUAAAGUCGAUAAAGAAGCAGAAUAGGUUUGGAAUUUCUCGAAAGAUAUUCCGUAUUGGCCCAAGCCAGUGGCACCAGUAUGUAUACACUGUGAUAGCCAAGUGGCAAUAGGUAGGGCAGGGAGCAUGACGUACAACGGUAAAUCUUGUCACAUACGACGGAGAUAUAAUACCGUUAGGGAACUUCUUUCUAGGGGAAUUAUCACUAUUGACUAUGUAAACUCAAAGGAUAAUGUGUCGGAUCCACUUACAAAAGGCCUAUCUAGAGAAGGAGUGGAAAGAACAUCCAAGGGAAUGGGUUUAAGGCCUAGGACGAGUCAGCAUGACGGUAACUCUACCUAGCAGACUGGAGAUCCCAAGAGUUAGGUUCAAGGAGAUCAAACAAAGUUGUGUCUGACAGGUUCGACAUUGUCAAUUACGCAACCCAUUCUCAUGAUGUAGACAAUGCAUAGUAAACUAGGAUAAGAUUUAAGGUGAAAAUUCUUUUAAUGAUUAUCUAAAUUUGGCUUAUUUGACCAAAUAGUUUAAUCUAUAGGAUUGAACGUUUAGAAAUCACCAAUGCAAGGGUGAAGUGGAAGCCGCUUCAAAGAGAAUGUUAGUAAAGUCCUAUUCUCUAAGCUCUCAUGAAAUCGGGACAUGUUCAUGUCUGAAAAGAACAAAACCAUGAGAACCAUAAACGUUAAAAGGAUGGUUGUGUGACAUGUAUUGUCUAGGUAUACAUUAAAGCUCGACGGUUCAAAGAUAUCAAAUCUACCGAUUGACCGAGUGCAUCCGAUGCAUGUUCACUAUGGAAAGUUCAAAGGAAAACCCACUUAUCCAUAUGCAAUCAGUCUUUACUUGAUGAUCACAUACUUGUCCGUAAAAAUUUUACGAAAAAUAGCCAUUCCCUAUUCAUAUGGGGGAUUUUUGGGUUCAUAGUAUAUGAAAGAAAUGCGAAUGGAAAAAUGAAGAAUAAAAUGGUUGAGGUGAAGGAGACACUAAAAUGGAAAGUGUACUCCCAAAUUAGAAAGUUUACUCUUUCUCCCACACUGGUGGAAGAAGAGAACUUGAAAGUAUUUAUAAUCAAGAACACUUGCUUCACAUGGCAAGUGAGGCAAGAAAUAAUAGAUGCCUCGCACCGUCGUCGUCGUUCGCUCAGCUCAGCUUCGGCUUCGGCUUCGGCUUCGGAUUUGGAUUUGGAUUUGAAUUUGGCAAAUGAUCGAUCGAUGAGAUAUAUCUUUUUGGACAAACUUUAUUUGAAUUCCAAAGAAUGCCAAGGAAAAAUGCAGUAAAAAUUUUUCUGCAGUUUCGGACCUCCAUUUAUAUAUACAUGCAGUAAUAGUUGCACUAUUUCAAGUGAACUGAUGCAUUGUUUUCGAACUAGUGCUUCAGAAAUGAUACAUUGUUCUGAACUGAGGCUACAGAAGGUUGCAAUAGUUCAAAAUAAUGCUUCAGAAAGAUGUAAUCCUUCAAUGAAGUGACACACUGACUCAUGAAAUGAGAUGACUGUUUAGGAAAAGAUGCAAUCUUUGAUGAACAAACAUGAACUUACAGCAAAGGUAUAACCUUUGGCGUGAACCAUUGCCUCUUUUUAGAAGAGGCAUAUUGUGGUUAUAUAAACCUGAUUUCUUCCCCAGGUUUAGUACGAAAAUUUUCAGAUUAAAAAACUCUCUUCUUGUCUCAAAAAAAUAUUCUGUGUGAUCACUCAAAACGUUUUGUGAGUUUGAAGAUAUUCCAACCGUUUGAGGUACCACUACUGUUGGUCUGUUAGCCAUUUUAUCCUGGGAGGAAAAAUUUCACAACCUCGGGUACAGUGAGAGGGAUUAUUUCCUUAACGAAAAUCCGUGAAUUCGGACGACUUCGCUAUUUUCUGUUUUAUCUUAAUUUCUACAAAAUAAAAUACACCUCUUGGAAAGGUCAUUUUGAUCUUGUGUUGAGGGUAUUUGAUAUACUUCAUUGUGUUCUUAUUUAUACUUGAACUCAAGUUGAAGUUGGUGUUGUAAUAUACAGAUUCUGUGUACCCAAAGUACGAACGAUAGAUAACAAUGCUUGUCUAUCUAGAAAGUAUUUUGAUGCAGAUAAAUUAGGAACUACUUUUGAUAUGAUAAUUAUGAUGCUGCUACAAGUCGUGGGAUGUGAACAGGAGGUUUUAAGUUCAAGUCGUGAAAAUAGCCUCUUGCAGAAAUGUAAGGUGAGGUUGCGUAUAAUAAACCCUUAUGGCGCAGUUCUUCUCUAAAACCCGUGCAUAGCAAGAGCUUCAUUGCAUCGGAUUGGCCUUUUAAUACUCCCUCCGUUUCAAAAAGAAUAACCUACUUUGACUUGACACAAAGUUUAAGAAAAUAAAGAAGACUUUUGAAUUUGUGACCUUAAAUUAAAGUUGUGUCAAAUGUACCAAAAUGCCCUUUAAUCUUGUGGCCCUAAAUAUGCCAUGUGGAAAGUUGAAAUUAAAAUAUUGUCAAAAAAGGAAAAAGGUUAUUCUUUUUUAAAUGGAUUAAAAAAAAAUAGGUCAUUCUUUUUUAAACGGAGGCAGUAGCACUUUUUAUGGUGCCUCUACGAGCACCACCUUUUGUAAUGAUGCAUAUUAACUAUUUAUAAUGUUUUUCCCUUUGAAACAAAAGAAAGUUAAUCGACAAAGUUGUCACACGCCAUUUAUGAUUUUGCAUGAUUGUUAAUUACUCACUUUUUCCGGUUCAAUAAUAUUGACGUGUACACUCCUUAAGAAUUAAUAAAUAUUAAAUAGAAUAAUACUUUUAUUAUAUUAUUCUUUUAAUUUAAUAAAUUUAAUGUGUUAAAAAAUGCAUUUGAGAAAUGUCUAUAACUAAUAAUAAGAGCAAAUUAGGAACUUAAUGAUAGUAAGUUUUCUCUUAAUUUUUUCAAAUUCCCAAAUUAAAAAUGAUCAUCUAUUUCUAAUGGUGGACAAGUUAUAUAAAAAUGGACGGAGGGAUAUUUUGUUGUCUAAGUUAGUUCCUAAUUUAAAAAGAACUAAAUAUCCAAAACACAUCUAAACUAUUUAUCAGCAUUAGUGAAAUACAGAGAAAUGGGUAUAGCAAGUAAGAGUUAAAAUCACAGAAAUGUGGUUCUAGAUGAAAAUUGUAGUAGUUAUAAAUUAUAAUACGAAACAUUUAUAAAAUAGGCACGAGGUUUUGUUAGAAUAGCAAGGAUAAAUAUUUUUGUGGGACAAUAAUGUCCUUUUUUUACCUAUCAAAUACUGCUAGAUUCUAGUAAUCAUUCCUUGAAUUCCGCAUAUAAUAAAAAUUUUAGUCCACUAAACUUUUCUUUUAUCAAAGACUACAAAUUAAAUCCUCAUUAGGUACUACUAGUAUGUCUAACUUGAAUACAAGUAAAAGCCAUAAAAUAACACUAACCGUGUCAAGGGAACCGUUCUCUUUCCUUCCCCUCUCCCUUCUCCCUAGUCUCAAGUUUCCAUCCACCAUGGAUGAAACUCUAACACUCCCUCUGUUACCAAAUCCACCGAGAAACAACCCUUCCAGAGAAAUUCUCAUGGAAGAUCCUAUCCCCUCGUAUAAAGAUGUUGCCGCAGGAAAAUUAAACUCCCUCAAUCAACCAGGACUGCCGAGGCCUGAUCUGGGAACAAAAGAAAGAUCUGAAGCCAAGGGGAUCCUAUUAUCCAAAGAAGACAAGCUACGUCUCUAUACUCCUUGGAUUCACUCAAUUAUCAUCAAGCCAAUAAAAGGAAACUUCAAUUUCCAAUACCUAAAAAGAAAGCUCGACGAUCUGUGGCAACUUUCAGAACCCCUUUGUCUCAUAGAUCUUAGAUUGAGAUUCUACACAGCCAAAAUCACCACCUUGGAAAGCCAAUCACGCAUUCUCCAGGGUAGACCAUGGUUUAUAGCAGGCAGUUACCUAUCGGUAAGAAGGUGGGAAUCAAAUUUUGUACCAAGUUACUCAAAGAUCGAUUCUACGUCGAUCUGGAUCAGGCUCCCACACCUUCCCACAGAACUCUAUGACGCUGCUAUACUUCAUAGAAUCGGCUCAGAAAUUGGAACCCUGCUAAAGGUCGAUGCAUGCACCUCAGCGGCUCUGAGAGGCAGAUACGUUAGAAUAUGUGUCCAACUUUUCCUGGAUGAACCGGUGACGCCUACCAUCACUAUAAAUUAUCACGAACAACUCUUUUACGGGGGAGAGGGCUUUCUCUGCAAAAAUUAUGGCAAAUUGGGGCACACGAUGAGUGGUUGUUCCUUUCCCCUGUACAAUCUCAAAUCGGCUGAAGCUACUACAAGCAAAGAUGGGGACUUUACAAAUACCCCAAUUGAAUCCAAGCUACCAUCGGAAGGGAACCCAUCAGAAUGGAAAACAGUAACCUUUGCCAAGAAAAAGAAACAAGGAACAAAAGCCCAACCCCACACGAAGGGAUUGAACACCGGAAAAACAAAAGCCCAGGCGACGGCUCCAGGUAAGUGCCCUAACCCUACGCUGAGCGGGUCAGCUAGGCCCACCAUCUUUUCUUCCACCUCCCUUAGGCUGAACCACGAACAUCCCUCAAAACCCAAUACGGGUACCAAAAGGAACAUGGGCCAAGUGUCUAACCAGGCCCAAUCAGCUCCCAGCCCUAAAGGGAAAGAAAAAACAGCUGGCAUGCAGAGGACCAAUUCUAGUGCCCCAAUUGGGCCACUUGGGAUAGCCCACAAGGCCCAACUCCUUUUUGAUUACCCCUCAAAUUUAAUUGCCCCUCUCUUCUAAACAUAGAUACUAAAAUGAAAAAGGACCAUCUCAGUGGGUCCCUAAAGCUGAGCUGGACAUAAGCAAUGAUAAGCCUACUGGCAUGACAACGGGAAGCUCUUGCACUUCCCCUUGUGAUUUGAUGGAAGGUAGCCUCAGUUCAAACACAGCAUUAAAUGCUAGUGGUCUUCCCAAACGCCAAACUCCUUAGGUUUCCUCAGACACUUCUCACCACCCCUUAUAUAUGGAGGAAUGCACGAAUAAGAGCAUUCUAGAAAUAACCAUGGACAACCACAAUUCCAACAUAACUAUCAGAACGGUCCCUCUAGCAUCGGAUCACCAACCAACCUCAUGGCUGAAAAUUUGUCUAACUAACCAGACAGUCCCAAUUCACCUGAAUGGGAGGGAAGAAAAAUCACCAUACUCAUCCAAGACCCUCAAUAUUUGGCUCAACUGGCAAUGGCUAGUUUGAACCAGGGGUUACAAACUUAUGGACCCAAUGUCUGGAUGGCCACACUAUUCCAAGUAAUCAACUCCCCUUUCCAAGAGGAGCUAAGCACAGAGUCCCUCUCCAGUAUUAUGAACGAAAUAAGCCUGAGCCACCCCUUUUUUCCAGCUCCCAACCCUGCUCUGAUGCUCCUGGGACCAUCCUUUGCCCCACCAUCGGAGGCACCCCAAGUUAUCCCACCUUUUUCUUUUGUGCCCUCAAUCUCUCACACCUAACGCUGGAGAGGAUGGAGAGUGUAAACACCCUCGAGGCACUAAAAUAAUCCGCUAAAGAGUUGGAAGAAUUCCUGUCACUGCUAAGAGUAUCAAGAACAGAGGUUCUAAACAUGGUCGAACCCCUAACUCUCGACUUCUUAGAUCCAGUCCAAGAGAAAGUGACCAUCCUGAUCCCACUAGGGCUAGGAAAACUGGGAGUAAGUUCACAUAUAGUGAACAGCCCGACGAAUGAAACUCCCAGGGUCACCUUGACCCCCUUAAAUAAGAAGAGGAAGGCCUCAACUUUAUCUCUCACCUCCAACCCCUAGGGGAAGGACAAAGUGAAUGUGACACAGCAUCCCUAUCCCCUGUACUCCAAAAUGAAGAACUGUAUAAUAUGGAAUGUUAGAGGAGCCAAAAAUACUGAGUUCAGGAAGCAUUGCAAGACAAUGAUCAACAUCCAUAACCCUUGCAUCCUUGCCCUUUUGGAAACCAAGAUGUCUAACCAUCAGGAUCUUUGUGAGGACGUGGGUUUUCAUAGCUACAUCUAAUCUGAAGCUUCUGAUAACUCAGGAGGUCUAGUCAUCAUGUAGAGGGAUGACUCCAUCUUCAUCUCCAUUGUCUCCAUCACUACUCAGUCUAUCAAUGCCCAAGUCAAGGUUAGUUCUCCUCCUGUAUCCUGGUUCAUUAGAAUUAUCUAUGCUAGUACAGACCUUAGCUCUAGGAUUAACCUUUGGGAGAAGUUAGAAAUCUUCUCUGACACAUAUAUUACCCCUGAAGGUAAGAGUUAGUUAGUUGGAGCGGAUUUCAAUGAAGUGCUUAGAGCCUCGAAGAAAUUUGGAGGCUCAAAAGUUAACUUCAAUAGAAUUAACAUGUUCAUGAAUUGCCUCAAUUACUGUAACCUUAUUGAUCUAGGCUUUAAAGGGAGUAAAUACACCUGGUCUAACAUGAGAUAUAGAAAUAGACAGGGGCUCAUUCUAGAAAGACUAGACAGAUGCCUUGUAAAUGAUUAAUAAAUCCACUCCUACCCUGAAGCCAUCAUCACUCACCUCUCCAAAACCCACUCUGACCAUUCCCCCUAUUCUAAACUUUGGCACCACUUCUGCCAUUGAGAAUAAGUCUUUCAGAGUGGAAUCUAUUUGGUUAAGUCACCAGGACUUCCCCAUCCCCAUUAGAGAUUCCUUCCAUAACUGUACUUGCAUUACCUCAGCCACUUCUGACUUUGAAAACAAGGCUCGAUCUUGGAAUAAACACAUUUUUGGGGAUAUUUUCAAAAAGAAAAAGCACUUGCUUGCAAGGUUGGCUAGUAUCCAGAUAUCCCCAAACUAUACUAAUAGUCACUUUCUCCAAGGGCUAGAACAAACCCUCCUGAAGGACUCUAAUAAUAUUCUCGACUUGGAGUCUGAAUUCUGGAAAUUAAAAUCAAGAAUUUCCUGGCUCAUCCAGGGUGAUUCAAAUACUAGAUUUUUUCACACCUCCACCCUGAACAGAAGGAGGAGAAAUAGAAUUAAUUCCAUAAUAAAUGAGAGUGGGUCCUGGCACUAUCACCAAAAAGAUAUUGAGUCUACUGUCUCCAAUUACUAUUCUAAACUCUACACCACUGAGCACACCCUGGGGUAUUCCAAGACUCAAUCGAAUACCUCCUCUGAGGGAUCCAUCAACUCCUCUGUACAUGACUUACUCCAGGUUGUCCAUUUUCCGGAGGAGGUCAAGAAAGCAGUUUUCUCCUUCAAUCUUGACAAAGCCCCUACCCCUGAUAGGGUCCAUCCGUUCAUGUACCAAAAGUUUUAGGACACUCUAGGCCCCCUCAUUGUUAGAUUUUGUCAGGAUACCUUCACCUCCUAUUCAGUGGAUCCUAGAGUGAACUCCACUUACCUGUGUCUAAUCCCCAAGUGUAGAAAUACCACCACCCUCACAAACUUCAGACCUAUUGGUUUAUGCAACACUCAGCAUAAGAUUAUUACCAAAAUCAUUGCCACUAGGAUCAAGCCCUUGCUGGCAAAUAUCAUUGGCCCUACUCAAGCCAGUUUCUUGGCAGGAAGAAAAGCCUCUGACAAUGCCAGCAUUGUCCAAGAAUAUGUUAUUCAUCUCUCAAAAAUGAAGGGCAAGAAGACUAACAUGAUUCUGAAAAUUGAUUUAGAGAAAGCCUUUGAUAGGAUUGAAUGGUCUUUUAUUAGACAGGCCCUCCUCUACUUUAACUUUCCCACUAGCCUCACCAAUCUGAUCCUCUCUUGUAUCUCAACUUUCUCCAUAUCCAUUCUGGUUAAUGGGGGGAAAACUUCCCCUUUUAACCCCUCUAGAGGCAUUAGACAGGGGGACCCUAUGUCACCCUACCUUUUCAUUUUGUGCAUGGAACUUCUUUCCAGAAAAAUCAACUAUAAGGUUGACACUUGGAAUUGGAUCCCCUUAUCCAUCUCUAGAAUUGGGCCUUCCAUCUCUCACCUUUUCUUUGCUGAUGACCUUACUCUGUUUGCCAAGGCAAACUCUCAAAGCUGUCACACCAUUAACAGAACUCUUCAUAAUUUCAGCUCCCAUUCAGGCCAAAGAGUUAACUAUAGUAAAUCCAAGGUUAUCUUCUCCAAGAAUUAUUCCCAAGAUACCCAGGAUAACCUAUCCUCUCUCCUAGAUAUCCAAUCUUCUACAAACUUUGGUAAAUAUUUAUUCUUUCCCAUUUUCCACAAGAAGCUUGUUAGGUCUGAUUUUCAAUUCCUCAUUUACAACUUCAAGAGCAAGCUUGCCGGCUGGAAGGCAAAAUUUCUUAACAUGUCUGGUCGGUUCACCCUUGCUAAAUCCACCCCUGCCAGCAUCCCUAACCACAUUAUGCAGUACAUCCAUCUCCUUACUUUCCGACAUAAAAUUAUUGACAAAACCCAAAGAAACUUUAUUUGGGGCACCACUGAGCUGAGGAAAAAAAUUCACUUUAUUAAGUGGGACACCAUCACUCUUACCAAAAAGGUGGAGGGCUGGAUAUACAUAAGGCUGAUAUUAAGAAUGCUGCCCUCCUCUGUGGACUGGGUUGGAGAAUGUAUUCCAACCCUAACACCUUAUGGGCUAGUACCCCAAUUGCUAAGUAUGGUAACAGGGGAAAAAAUCUUUACAAUAUUUCUAGGACUUGGUGCAGCAUUAUCAAGAGCUGGAAUAUAUGUAGGAAUGCUCUACAUUGGGCCAUUAAAGAUGGUACCAAAGUGGAUGGAUAGAUGGAUUCCUGGGAUGCCUCCCUUAGCCACUAUCAUCCAUGGUCCCAAUACCAACCCUCCUAACCCAGUUCUGGUUAAAGAUGUUUGGAAGAAGAGAAGAUGGGAUUUUCUCACUUUACCCUUCGAUAUCCCUCCUAACAUUGUUAACUUUAUCAAAAAUUCUUUCAUCCCCAGCUCCCACCUUACCAGGGAUACCCCAUGUGGGUGAUGAGGGGUAAUGAAACCUUCUCUUGUAAGAGUGCCUACCUACACAUUGCUAACAAGAAUAAAACCUCUCAAACAUCUAACAACUCUUUCAAUUGGAUAUGGAACCUGAACAUUCCCAAUAAAAUUAAAACAUUUAUGUGGCUCAUCCAGCAUAACUCUCUCCCUACAAACACUAACCUUUACAAUAGGGGCAUCAACAUUAACCCCUCUUGUCAUAAGUACAACAGCACCCAGGAAGACCAAUCCCAUAUCUUCUUUUCUUGAUCCAUGGCCAAAUCCCUAUGGGCUCAACUUAUUCAAAAGUACAGAGGUAACAUUGAACUCUACCCCAAUAUGUUUGACCCCAACAAUUGGCCUAACACUUGGGAAAGACCUAACAACCUCUACUUUGACACCACCACUCCUUGGAACAUCUUGUUACCCUUUUGUCUUUGGCAUCUCUGGAAGGUUAGGAAUGCCAACUCUUUAGAAAAUGCCAAGUCCCAACCUUGUUUCAGCAUUCCUCAUGCUGAGUAUAUAGAAUACCACCUUUUAGGAAAUGAUAAAGCAAACCACCCCAGCACUGUCAUCAAUCUAAGAUGGCUCCCCCUUACUCCAGUACUUUCAAACUCAACACUGAUGGAUCUUAUGUUGGGAAUCCAAGAAAAGAGAAAAUUGGAGGUGUCAUCCGGAAUAGCAAAGGUGAUUGGAUUAUGGGCUUUAGCAAAAGCUUUAGCCAUGAAACCAACAACCUCAUGGAGCUAAUGGCCUUAAGAUAAGGCCUAAAUUUAGCUCUUCACGAUAACAUCAAACCUUUAACUGUAGAGGUAGACUUAAUGGAAGUUUUAAAUAUGCUUCAUCAUGGUAACCCUCUCUAUGAUUCAAUUAUUAAUGCUUGCAGAUCUUUACUAGAGAGCUUAGAGAAUCCUCCAGUCCAGCACAUCUAUAGGGAGCAGAACAGGGUAGCAGACAUGCUGGCUAAGCAGGGAUCGAAAAAGGACCUUUUUGACAGGCUACAUGUCUAUACGACUCCGCUAGCUAGUGUAGGCAUAGUUUUUUGGGAAGACUUAGAAGGAAAAAUUCUCUCUCAUUCUGUAAAUGCUCAACAUGUAGUGAACCAAAGCAGCUUUAUUUUUGCGCCUGGAUAGGCACCUAUACAAACUCUUUUAAUUAUCAAUGCAUCUUUUUUAACUUACAAAACAAAAUGUCAUAAAAUAGGAGGCAGGAGGGUGAUAUGUGUAAAUCUUACUCAUAUCUAGUGAAAAGUAAAAAAUCAGUUUUUUUAUAGACUUUCGGCUCAAGUAAAUCAUUUCAAAAUAGGUUAUUGAAAAGUAAACAAAGUAUAAAUAAUAAAAAACGCUUAUGUCAUUUUUUUGUCAGUUUUAUAGCUAAAUUAUGAGUUUGCUGCUUUGUGUUUACUAUUUGCUCUAUCACAAACUAUUUAUAAAAUUCAAAAUAUUGGAUUCAAUUAGUGUGAAUGAAAAAUGAAGGGAAAGUCUUGGAGGAAAAGUGUACUCACUUAAUGAUAGUGAGGCAAGAAUCAAGAGGUGUCUCGCGCCGUCGUCGUCGUCGUUGUCGCUCAGCUUUGAAUUCGGAUUCGGCAAAUGAUUGAUAAGAUUAAUUUUUUAGACAAAAUUUAUUUGAAACUUGAAAAAAUAGGUGAAAUUUAUUAAUCCAAAAAUCCAAAGAAAAACGAAAAAUAUUUUUUUUCCAUAAAAGGUCAUACCCUUUGAGGAAAUGACACACUGUUUCGGAAAAGGAGUGACUGUUCGGUCAGAUGUAACUGUUUAGAAAAAAAACUGUUUUGGAAUGGACAGACAUGACUGUUCCGAAGCAAUACACCUUUCCGAUAAACCAUUGUUUCCUUUCCGAAGGGGCACUUGAUGGCUAUAAAUACCUGCAUAUUUUUCACAGAUAUGUACGAAAAUUUAAGAAUUGAAAAACACUCUUCUACUUCUGAAAAUUCUUUGUGAUCAUCUGUCGUUUAGUGUGUUCGAAGAAUCUGAACGUUUGAGGUACCGCCACAUUCAUAUUGUGUGUCAUUUUAUCUUAAGAGGAAAAAUUCUGCAACCUCAGAUACUUGAGGAGAAUUAAUUCCUUAAGAAUACUCAGUGAAAUCGAAGGACUUGGUUCUAUUUAUUCUUCAUCUUAUUUCCUUAAAUAAAAUACUUCUUUGAUAGUUCAUGUUGAACUUAUGUUGAAGGUGUUAAAUUUCAGUGGUGUUCUUGAAACUAAAUGUCUUGAACAAAAAUUGAAAUGUAGUGUAUAAACAUAUAGAUUGCGUAUCCGAAACAACACAAAACACGCCUCUAAUUAGUUGACUAGACCAAGUGUUUGAAUACAAUCGCCAAAAGAUUAGUGACAAUUUAAUUUUCUCAUCAAAUUUUGUCCUCACGACAACUGUCUCGUAAAUUUAGAGACGUGUUUUAAUAAAUAGUUCAGGUAGAUAAUAGUCUAGAGGCUUGAAUAUAAUCGUCAAAAGGUAUGUGAGAACUUAAUUUGUCCUUAACUUUUCGUUCACAUGACAGUUGACUCGUUAAUUUCAAUGCAUAUUAAUAAAAAAUAAAAAAUAUUCAGAUAGAAAAUUCGAGAAAAAAAAAAACUUCAACUAUGAUUUUUUUUUUCUCCUUAUUUCUUUAAAUUGGGACCUAGUUGUAUUUAGCUAGGGAGCUACUACUUACCCACUUAAUCCAUUGGAGAAAAUUGGGAUUCAAUGAAUUGCAUUCCUCCACCCACCAACUUUUAUUUAGCUAAAUACCUUAAAGGGAUCAUUUGGUAGAAUGUAUACGAAUAAUGUAAAAUAUGGUGUGUUAGUAGUGCUUGUAUUAGUAAUGCUUGUGUUACCUGUGCUUGCAUUAAUUAUGCUUGUAUUUUUCUUAUGCAGUGUUUGGUUUGAUGUAUUAGAAAUAACAAUAAUUAAAUAAUUUCUAAAAAAAAAUUUUUUUUACAAAAGAUAUCCUUCAUAUAUAUGUUGGAAAGGAUGUAAAUUUUUUUUAAGGAUAAUAGUGUUUUUUAAUCAUAUUAAUGCAUGUAUUUGAUCCAUUGCAUUGCUAAUCCCAUGAAUUUUGAGGUAUUAGUAAUACACACAUCAAUACACAAUAGAGUGUAUAACUAAAAAUGUAAAAGUAUACCAAAUAAGAUGUUAGUAAUAUACAUUAAACUAAUGCAUUCAUUAGUUUUCUAAUACACUCUAUCAAACGACCCCUAAUUCUGUUUCUAAUAAAGCUUCUAUCUUGACUAUGGAAGUCUUCUUAUGAAAGAAUAAAAUAUUGUAAAAAGAAAAGGUUGAAAAUAAGGUUGUUCCAUAUUUUAGGUGAAAAAUGGACCCCACAUAUUUGAGAAAGCAAGGUUGUUCCAUAUUUUAGGUAAAAAAUGGACCCCACAUAUUUGAGAAAGAAUUAUUUUUAAAUAAAGCAUCUAGUAUUCGUUUAAAAUUAUGACCAAAUUUACUACGGUACAUUCUAAUUUCAUGAGAUUUUGUUAUUCUUAAACUAAAUUUUUGCGUAUUUUUAUCAUUCUUUUAAAUCACGUGAUGUCUUUUGUCAAUCUUUUUAGCUGACGUGAUAUCUUUGACGUGACUUCAUUUUAUAUAAUAAAGAUAUCACGUCAGCAUAAAAGGGUGACAGGAAUAUAUUAAAAUUGAAUUCAGACGUAAUAAUAGAGUUCCAUAAAAUUAAAGUGUGUCGUAACAAUUUUGAAUUCGAGAAUAUUGGAUGCUUAUCUCAAUUAUUUACGAAGACUUAAACCUAAUUUUAAAUAUAAAAAUCCAACUAGGUCAGUCAACAAAAGGUUCUUUUUCGUCAACUUAUUAUAUUAUAUAAUUUCUUAUGAAUUAUUUAUUUAUGCUAAAUCGAUUAAGGUUCAUUUAAAUAUUAUAUAAUUUUAAAAUUAUUAAGAAAGUGUUCAUUUGAAGAUUUUUCAAAUUUUAAACUUUUUACUUCUACUCUAUGAGCUAUCUACUAUAACCCCCAAUAUUAAUAACCCAAGUUAUUUUUAUGUUUGGAGUGUUAAACUAAACUUAAAGUGUGUGCAUGCAUCAGAACGAGUAAUCUUAAUUGGUAAAGUCAUUGACAUACGAUCAAAGGUUAUAAGUUCAAUUCGGGAAAACAAUUUCUUGUAAAAAUAUAAGAAGAGAUUGUGUACAAUAGACCCUUGUACUCUUACUUCUUCCCAACAUCUUUGCAUAGGGAGAAUUUUAAUACAUUAAGCUGCCCAUUUUUAUGUGCAUGCAUCGAAAUAUCCUUUAAAUUUUAUAAUAUCAAAUUAAUAAAUUAGGUGAAAUAUUAAAAUGAAAGAUUUACUAAGUACUAAAUGUAAACAAUAACAUUGUUUUUCUAAUAAACUUUUUUAAAAAGUAAAAAAAUUAAAUUGAAACAAAAAGAGUAGUGGUGGUGUAGUACUACUAUAUCAUGUGCAUUCAAAUUUACAGUACACUUUAAACUUUGGAAAAAGAGAGAAAAAGGGUCCCCUUAGUGGAAUCUCUAGUCUUUAACAAAACCAUGGGCCAUAUGCUCUUGUUUGGAUGGUUAUCAUAAUAAUGUUUAGACAAAUUAUAUUUAUUUUUAUUAUUACGUAAUAUCAUAUAAUACUCCCAAUUUAACAAUUAAUCUAUAAAAUAAAAAAGUAAGAUAUGACCUAGAGCUAUAAUACAAAGGAUAAAUAUGAUUAUUAAUUAGAUGUUCUCUUUGUUCACUAUACGAAAAAUAAAUAUUUCAAUUUUAUGUUUGUAAAACUAAGAAAUAAUUAAUUAUCUAGCCUCAAAUUUGCCCUCAUGUUAAUAGUCCUUUUUCAAUGUAUUUUUGCCAAAACAAUGAACAUCUUAUAUUCAAAUUGUGAUGUAGUAAAAUUGACAUCUUACUUAUCGAGUGUAAGAAGUUAAUAUGGACAUUAAAAAUAGACCGACAGGUAAUAUACAACGACCAAAAAAAAAAAAAAAGAAAAGCAAAUCAAACAAUCAUUCUAGAUUGUCCAUUACAUAAAAUGAAACUUUUUACCGUUAGGAAACAAUAUAUUUAAUAAUAUAAUAACAUUUAAGCAAAAAUUUGUAUUUAUUAAACUAACAAUACCAUACAAUAAUUGGCAACAACCAUCCAAACGACCCCUUAGUGUGAUCUCCCAUUUUAUAAAAACCAGUCCCACAGACAUAGAGACUAAAAAUCAUAGCCCCAAAAAAAAAAAGAAAGAAAAAUUUGAAUACAUCAAUGGACAACAUAGAGAGCAUAGCAAAAGCUGCAAUGGAGAAAAUGAAAGAGAUGAACAUGGUGGAAAACACAAAGGAGAUCAUCAACCAAUCAACUCCAUUUGUAACCAAAUUCAUGAAGAUCUCAUCUGACUGGUUAUUCGAAAAUACAAAAGUGAUCAUCGUAAAAUCAUGCAACUGGCUAACAAAAACAGCUCCACAAGUGAUAUACACUGGAAAAAAUUUGAUUGAAAAAGCUCCAAUAUCAUAUACAAUUUCAAUAGGUGUUGUGUUGUUUUUGUUCUUACGUUGGUGUUGUGGAGGUCGAGGUAGUGGAGGAAAUGGUAAGAUGAUGAAAGCUCCAGGAAGGAAUAAUAUUAGGAUACAUAGAAGUAAGUUUGAAAGCAGUCCUAAAGCUUAUUUUCGCGAUCUACGAUCCAAAAAAUAGGCUUUUGUGAUCUGAUCUUUCUCAGAUGUUAUGUAUGUCACGAGCUUAGUGCAUCUUACUUCCCUUUUUUUAAGUGUUACAUAUGUUAUUUACUGGUUAGGGAAUAUAAUAUGCUUCGGAUCAGGAGUUUUUUCAUCUUUAUUUUCAAGUUUGACUAUGAAAUUUCUGAUUAUUAGGGAGUAAGUAAUAUCGAUAUAUGUAUAUGUUUUGUGAAGUAGGUACUUUGGUUGUGUAUUGCAGUACGUUUGAAUAAUAUUUUCUGUUUUAUUGCCGAUAUAUACAAUAGUUCUUGUAUGUAUGUGUUUCGGUUUCGUAUAAUGUUAUGUGAAUUGCAAAAGGAACUCCAGUAUAGAGAUUACUGAUUAUUUUUUGUUGUUGCACAAAAGAACAUCAUGGUAUUUGUUUGAGUAGAGUUCGACUACGGGGAUGAUUAUACGACUUAGUAAUUUUGGUUCAAAAUCUUAUAAAAAUAUAGUUCCCAUGGUUUUCCCAUCAAGUCAAAUUUCUACUCAUCUAAGAUGAACAUGUCAGUUAGUUCAGGGAACAAACAUUAAUAGUAUAUCGUUGGUUUUGUGUUGUAUUUACUUCCAUAUUUUCUCCUUCUUUACUUCUAUAUUUUCUUAGUUGCUCUUAUAUUCAUUACUUGAGUCGAUUGUCUUCCAAAAAUGACCUUUCUACCUCUUUAAGGUAGCUGUAAGGUCUCCAUAUACUUCACUUUUGCGACUAAAUAUUUAUUUUAACAUCAUGGUAUUUAUUGUGUGGAAUUUCAUCCAAUAGCAGCUUUAUAGCUAAAGUUGUCACUUUAAUGCUUCGGCUUAACCAUGAAAGUCUUGUGUCUAUUUGAAAUAAGGAAAAAAAAUGAAAAAGUGAAAGCAAUUGAAAGAAAACUUGAGGCAAACUUAACCUAUAAGUUAACUUAUUAGGGUCAUUUGAUAAGUCAAAAGUAGGAUAAGGUGAAGUAUUACAUGGUUAAAUUUGCUAUUAAAUUUAUAUCAUAUUUGGUUUAUGAUAUUAAUUUAUACCAUUCAAAUCUAGUUUUGGAAUAUUUCCUCUUAUCUCAUUUAACAUGUGAUUAUUUUAUACCAUUCCCAUAUGAUGUAAAUUAAUUUAGAGAUUAUAAUCUCGUGCGCAAUUUCAGAAUAAUUUAAUCUACAUAUCAA